Molecule: long non-coding RNA, 59804 nt
Filed under: Vitis vinifera (wine grape)
Lineage: Eukaryota; Viridiplantae; Streptophyta; Magnoliopsida; Vitales; Vitaceae
Description: long non-coding RNA (VVIN_LNC004525)
Source: RNAcentral
UCUUUCAUUUCUUCUCUCUACACACCCCUCUUUCACUCUUCAGUUUAACUUUGUCCUUUCGCUCACAGGGACAGCCCAGACUCGUCAUCCUCCUCGAGGGUGGCAGUGUAGGUAAAGUAGAGAGCCCAGAUCAAACCAAACACACCGAAAAGUAUCCACCCAAGAAGGUUAUUGCUCAACCCAAAGGGCAGCCCUGUCCCCUCCGUGCUCAGUCUCUCAUCCACCAGUGCCAUUGCUGGCCCUGCCGACGCUGCCACCGCAGCAGCAGCUGCCAUCAACGACGCCCCCAUGCUGAUGCUUGACCCCAUGUCGCUUCCACAGGGCUUCUCCUCAGACAUGCACCGCACUCGUCCCUUCUUCGCCAUGGCUGGCAGGCCUACAACCCAGAAAAGAAAAUGUCCAUGUAAGAUGGAUGGAUCAAGCGAAACAAGAAGAGAAUUUCAUUCAAAAACCUUACCAAGGACGGGUGAUGAAAUCCCAUUCAAUCCUUUACUCGCUACACUGGCACGCACAAGCGAUGUAGCUGGGUUGCUGGCUGUAAUGGUGGCCAUUUUUCUGCAGUCUGAGAAAUAUGGAUCAAGUAUGCAAGAGUAGGAGUUAGGAGAAGAUUUAUCACAUCAAAUGGGUGGGGGAAUUGGAGAAUUAAUAUCAUCGGCAUACAGUUUGGUGCACCACAGAAUGUGGAUAGAUAGAUGGACAGACAUUUCAUAUCCUAAAUCUUCAGGUGACCAAUCGGUGCCCGCCAUGUGUGUCUUUACAUAGCUUGUGGGUUACCAAAACAUAUGUUCUGUUUGGACACAAGAGACCUGGUUUCAACAAAUAUGGCCUGCCUUGGGCCACUCUAGUAAUAAUUAACAAAUGGCCUUAGGGAAGCCCAAAGGAAUGAGCCCUCUCUCUCUCUCCCCUCUCAAGCCCUAUGGCCCAUGUCAAUGAGGAAAUAGUUUAUAUGUGUCAGUAGAUGGGCUAACUAGACCAAUAUUUUUAUUAUUUACUGUAGGAUACUAUAUAAAAUAGUAGUAAUUUUAAUAUAAAAUUUAAGGCUUACAUUGAAAAUUUAAUGAUUUAUAUUAGAAAAUUGAGGUAUCAAAAAUCUUUAAUUGUCUUAAAUUUAAAAUUUUAAAAAUAAUUUUUAAAGACAUAAGAUAAAUAUAUAUUUAAAGAAAAUUCACUUUUAUAAUAAAUUUCUAUUUUAAAAAAAUACAUAAAAUAUAUUCAAACUAGGAGAAUGUUUAGUAAACCAACUUAAUAACUUAAUUUAAGUUAUUAAACAAAUUAAGUAUAUUUGGUAAAAUAACUUAAUGACAUGCCUCAAAGUCAAAAACAACUUUAAUUAAUAAGUAAAAAUAAUUAACUUAUUCUUAAAUUCACAUCUUCAUUUUCUUUUUUUACUACAAUUUGCAUUAAGUACAUCCACGAUCUCUUUCACUACUACACGACUUUCAUUAUUACUUGACCUCCUUUAUUCUAGUUAUAAUUUAUAAUAAUAAAUAUGUUAAUUUGAUGAUUUAGAAUAAAUUUUAAAUUAAUUUUAUCAAAAAACCUUAAUACUUAAAAUAAAAAUUAAAUAACAAGUUUUAAGUUAAUAACUUAACUAUGAUUUAACUUAAAAUCAACUUAAGUCAUUAUGUAAUAAGUAUUAAAUUUUAUCAAACACCCCAUAAAACUUAAUUAUCUUGGUUUGUUUUGAUUCCAUUGUGUGAUAUUUAGUUCAAAUUAGUCAAUUAUGGUCACAUGGUAGUUAAGGAAAGUACAAAGGAAACUUAAAAAACAAAUUCAAAGCUCCUAGAUGCCUAAAGUACGUAGUAUAAGAAAAUCAGCAAAAUCACUCAAAAUAAUAGGUUUGCAAUGUCAAAGAAUUCAGUAGAAAAGGUGGGAACUGAACUACAUUUAUAGUGCAAGAAGGAGCCCACAUAGCUGACCAAGGAGUUAGGACUUCUAACAGAUAGUGAAGAAAAGCUAAGCAUGGAAAUGGUACAUAAUUAAAAGUAAGGUCAGUACUAAUUGACAUAUUUGGGUUUUUGAAUAACAGCACCAUGCCAGGCUGAGUGGCUACCUUGCCAACCCAACUCCAAGGGCAUGCCAUCUUUUUCCAAAGCUGGCAUCCAGGCGGAAGAGCAACAUUCACACCUUCUACAGCCCACUUUUAUUACUCUGAAGCCCCACUCCCAGAAAGACCGAAAGCAAAUAUGAGAAACCCCAUGAUGCAUGCUAGAGAAAGGUCAAUGCAUCUGGCUAAUAUUACAACAAUCAUCAUGUGAAUGCAUCUGUCUGUAGGGGAAUUUAAACCGACGGCUUCAACUUCUUGUAUAUGCUAAAAUUUUGCUUCACACUCAUGAAUGACCAUCUAUGAUUAUCUCAUAUCCGAUUGAGAAGCAAAUGGGUUGCUUUGAAUGGUAUUGGAGCUGAUGUAGAUACGUUUUAAAGUUGUGAUGACUCAUUAGACCUAAAGCAAACAAUAUCUAAAUAGAAAAGAGUGAGUUAUCUAAAUGAUAUUAGAUAUGAUCCUUAAUUCCGAUGUGGGAGUGUGUUUAAUCCAUUAAGGGAUGUUUGCCUUUUUGAUCCUUUAAUCUCACGGGAUACAACAAGAAUGUAAUAUCAUAAAGGGGUGAUUGUAAUUUCUCAUAUUAAAUUAAAGAUAUAUACACUCCUUUUAAUCAUAUAAACGUAUUUUAAAAACGUAAAAACUGAUUAAAUUCAAAAUAAAUAAUAUCUACAUAAAAGGGAAUAGAUCGUUACAUCAUCCCUCUUACAUAUGUAUAUAUAACUUGUCAAGUUGAACUUAUUUGGAUAAAAGGGAAUUAUCCCAUAUAUAUUAAGUCGGUCUUUUAAUGAACCAAACACAACAAUCCAAAUCUAACUUGGUUAGUCCAAGGAAUCAGUUAGUGAUGGGGUCAUGAUCUUGUUAGUUAGCUUGUUCAAGUCAUAAAAUAGAACAAAACGAAGCCCACAAUGCUUCAAGCUCCACCUACUUAAUAUGGAUUGAUUGAGCUCAUCAUCAACUGUUGAGUUAGGCAUCACAAGGUUGUUGAUUAUAGACCCUAUCCAAUUCUAUAACUUAGCAAAAAGAAAACUCCAAUUACAGAGGUUUUUGAAGAUACGUGCUGUAUUUGCCAAUAUCCAUUGAUAAAGAUGGGAGCCAUGGAUUUAUUUGUACACAAAUCAAAAUGAGGCUAAUGAAAGGGACCACUUAGUUAUUGAGCUCCGCCCACAACCAACUUUGAGAAGGUUGCAUACUCAAAUCCAUCACUAAGCCCAACCUCUAUGCUACUAUUCGGCUUUGCGAGGUUGGUUAGAACUUAGAACUCAUAGUAAGAAUAAGAAUAGGAAUAUCUAAGUAUGUUUGGGAACAUUAUUACAUACCAGGGGAAGCUUAAUCAAGUUAUGUUUCCUUAACCUUAACUUGUCUCAAUCUAUUUUUACUUCAAGUUAUGAAUUUCUGUUCCAACUCUUAGCGGGUGUUUGUUUUUUUUUAUUUUUUGUUAAAAAUAAUUUGUUUUUAGAUUUUAGAUUGUUUGUUUUUCUACUUUUUUUUAUGAUUUAUUAUAAACAUUUUGUUAAACAGAAAAAAUUGAAAUAUUUGGCUUUUUAUAAAUGGAAAAAGCAAUAUAUUGAAUUUUAUUUACUUUUUAAUGCUUAAUGAAAAUAAAAUAUUAUAAAACAAAUAACUUAAUAUUUAAUACUAUUAAGCAUUAAAGUUCUAUUUAGAGUUAAGUAAAAAAACAAACAUCAUCUUAGCUCACACUCUGUGAUAAGACUAAUAACCAUAGUUAAAAGCGUUUCCUAUUACUUAAAAUAAUAUUUUUAAAAAUCGGUCGAAGCGUUCUUGAACUCAUAUUUAAUAGAUGUUUCUUUUUAAAAAUCGUCAUAUAGCCUUUAAUUUCAAAUAAAAAAUUCUAUAAUAAAAAAUUCAUUUGUGAUUCUCAAAAUUAUAGUUAAAGUUUACUUUUCCAAAAAAAACCAUUUAUGACAAAAAUGUUAUUCAUAAAAAGUAUUAUAACUAGAAGUGAUUUUAUCAUAUUAGACAAAGCUUGUUGAAAUAAUAUCAAUUAUUGUGGGGAUGACUUAUUAUUACCAAGAAUUUGUCCAAAUAAUCAUUUUUGGUAUUAUUAAAUUUAAAAUAAAAUGAUGACGCAUCAUUCAAAUGUUGCAAAAAUGGAGUUAUGCUACAAUAUCCCUUAUUUUAGUUUUUCAAAUAGGCUUUUUAUAGGAUAACAUAUCAAGCAUGACUAAUUUUUUUUUUUUUUACUUUUGUUGGUAUGUAUCUUUUUUUAAAAAUAUAAUAUAAAAAUAAAAUAAAAUAAAAUAAAAUAAAAAGGGGAAAAAAAGAGGGGGGAAUUUGGGUGGGGGUGGGGGGUGGGGUUAUACAUGUCGUCUACUUGCCCGUCUACCCACCAGCGUACUUGAGUGUAUCGGACAGGAAGGGAAGUGAGAAGCGUUUUUCACAUUACACGCGUACGAGAGACUCUGCUUUGUGUGUUUUUUGGCCGUGCCUUCCUUCAUGGACUUUCGUUGAAACUGUCUCUUGUAUAAAAGCCUCACCCUCAAGCCUCAAGCCUAUCGCCUCACGCCUCACGCCUCAUCAGCUCAUCACCCACUUCAGUCCGUUCUAUUCUGUUUUUCUCGAAUUCCUACAAUCCCCACUCACUUUUCUACCAAAUUACCCUAACCCAUCUCCAAAUUUCACCUCUGAAUCUAUUAUUUUUCUUCCAAUCAACCCCAAGAUCCUGUCUCUCUCCCCACGUCCCCAUAAUGCCACAACCUCUCUAAAAUUUCCUCGUUGUUUCUUGCUGCUUUUCUUGGUGAUUCUCUGCGUUGAAUCAGUGCACGAGAGAUGACGAGUCAGGUGGUGAAGGUACGGCGGGAGACAAUAGCAGCAUGCAUGACAUGCCCUCUUUGUAAUAAGCUUUUGAAGGAAGCUACGACAAUAUCUCUAUGUCUUCAUACGUGUAAGUCUUACUGUUAUGUUUCUCUUUUUUGGCUGAUUCUGAUCUGGGCUCUUGUUAUUUUGCAUUUUAGCAGCUGGGUUUCCUUUACUUUGUGCUUCUAUGAUACCGAUUUUCAUGUAUUUUCUUUAUGUAAUUUCACAAUUCAUACGUGUAAGCUUCACUAUUGUCUCUCUCUUUUGGCCGAUUCUGAUCUGGCCUUUUGUUCUCUUGCAUUUUAUUAACUGGGCUUCUUUUACUUUGUGUUUCCGUGGUAUGGAUUUAAUGUCUUUUAUGCAAUUUCAGAAUUCAUACGUGUUCGUUUCUCAAUCUCCCUUUUCUUUAUUAUGUUGUUUUUGAUCUGGGUUUGUUCUUAGCUUCCAUUAUAUGAACUGGGUUCCUUCUGCUUUGUGUUUUCAUGAUCUGGGUUCUCAUGUACUAUUCCAUAUCAGAAUCUUGGUUUUAUGAACUGGGUUUAGAUUUGUGAAUUACAUAGAAGAAAAGAGAGAAAUGCUGUGUGUUUAUGAUGUUGAUGUGAUUAUCCUUUCUUUCUUUUUAUUUGUUAAUUUAGGAAAUAAGGAACAAUAAAAGCUGUAUUUUUUAGGCCUUAGGGGGUCCAAUUAAUGUACCUGGGUUUCUCUCUGAGAAAAUAUUUAAUCAGUCAUUAUGGACGUGAAAAUACGGAUCUGAAAACUCAAAUUGAAAUGAUAAUCAAAUAUCAUCUGUUGAAGCACUGGUUGUCUGAACUUCUUAAGGUCAAAAACUGGUGACACUAGUAUAGCUCUCUGAACUCUUAAUUGCCUCUUCAGGAAAGCUCUUUCCUUUCCAUUGGUUAACAUUGCUAGUGACCAUGUGGUAUAAAUUGUCCUUCUCUUAUUCAAAUUUAUGUCAUCUUUUUUCUUCUUUCAAUUGAUAAACCCUUCCUCUCCAAAGCUUUUAAUUCAUAUGUUUUGGAAAGGAAUCGAAGCUUUCUUUAUGGCCUUGAAGAAUCUGAAGUUCUGCAAAAUUCUAGUUUAAUUUGAUUAUUUCUGGACUUUACUGAAAAUUGUGUAGGUUUAUAUCAUCUAGUUAGUUCAGUUCAGUACUUCCUAUGGUUCAUUCUUCCAUAAUAAGGUUCCUGUUCAAUUUUUUGAUCAUUUUUUUUUCAAUGUGUGUUAAUUUUAGUUCUUCUCUCUCUUGUUCCUGUCACCAUUGAGAAAUCUGAGUUAUGCCAUAACCAUGACAACCCUGAGUUGAUUUUAAUAUUGCCUUAUUUUUCAUUCUGUAUGAUUUUGGUUUAAUUCAUUUGAUUCUGUGAUUUUUGUAAUUCAAUCUCAUACUGAUCUUGAUGUGCUUUUUUCCUUCUGAUCCUUUUGAUGAUGUGCAUGGCUGUCAAUCAACUUGUUCUCUUUAUUUUUUUGCGGACAAGGGUCGUUUUUAUAGUUACACAAUCUAUUUUGGUGGUUUUCAGUUGGCCAUCAUGACUAAGCUCUUUUCUUUAUGAGCCUUUUUAUUUUCUUGGGAUCCCAUCUAGAAGCUAAAUUAACCUACUACUGUAGAUUGUUCUCUCCUUCUUUCUUUUGUUUUUUAUUUUUAUUUUUGAUUGGCAAAUUAAGAGAAAGAAUAUAGUUAGUCUCCUAAAAGGAAUGGGGACCAACCAAGAUACAUAGGGGGUAAACAAGGCUUGCAAAGGCCAGUUUAACAUUUUGAAUUAUUCCAUCCAUCUGAUAACUCAUUUAAGAAUUUGUCUCAAUUUUUCAGUUGCAGCAUGCUACAGGUUUGACCACCAACAUUAGUAAUAUUGGAAGGAUGUUAUUUUUUUGUUAAUUAUGGUUCAUUAACGUCAGACUAAGUAGUAGCUGUAAUUGAAUUUCAUUAGGUGUUAGCCGUCUCUCUAUAUGGAGUUGAUACAUUCUAAUCUAUAUAUAUUUAUUACAGCUUACUUGUUCCAGUGGAAUUCAUUUCCUUAGCAGCAAGCUGCUGUCAUAGAAACCACCUUUGGUCUAGGCUGUUGGCAACUCCUACUUGUUUUCACAUCAGAUCUUUUCCAUAUCUCACAAUUCUCUAUGUUAGUAGUUACAAAAAUGGGAGGAAGUUGUUUCAUAGCAUAUAUCCUGCAUGAGAGAAGCAUAUGCAUCACUAUUGUCAUUAGCUGUACUUAUUGGAAGCCGCUGUUAUAUAUUAUGUUUUCUUCUGGAUGCCAUUGAUAUCAAUUGCAAUAAAUAACUUAAUAAAAAAAAUGGAACCUUAAGAAUAAAUUUGUUGAUUUGGUAGCAACUUUGUAUUAUUUCCCUAUAACUUUCCUUGUUAGCUGGCUUUCCAAUUUGAUAGAAACAUUUUUUAUGAUACAUUAAUUUUCAUUUCGGAGGAAUGUCCUUUUCUUUUCCUUUUUAAUUAAUAUCUGAUAUUACCCUAGAAGGCAUAGGGCAAAUCCAAUGGAUAGAUACACAGAGGAAACAAAGUUCACCUGGAAAAUUUAUGGAUAUCUGGUCUAUGCUUCGAGUAAUUGAGAUGCUGAAGCAUGCAUGAAUGUUCUGUUUUUUGAUGCAAGAUAUUGGCAGAGAUACAUUUGUCAAAUGUGCCCAAUUUCAUAAUUUCCUUUAUGCCUCCCAAUUUUGAGUUGCUAAGGAAGUUUAAUGUUUCUUCACAUUUUGAAAUCCUAAUUAUCAUAGCUUGGAUGGAAUCCUAUUGUGAUUGCAAUUUUUCCUUUUUCUUUUCUUUUUUCUUGUAGGCACUGUUAGAGUGUAAUUUAUGUUUCCUUUUUCAUCAAUAACUAUAAUGGUCCUGUAUGAAAUGCUACUUAGAGAACCAAGAGAAAAAUUUUCAGAUCUCUUGUCAUCUCCUUUGUUCUUGUACCAUCACUAUGUUUCUUGCAUUUGGUGAUGAAUUAAGAACAUGGAGUGCUGCCUUUUUUUUUUUUUGGGGGGGGGGGGGGGGGGGGGUUGCAUUAAUUAUACAUUGCUAGCAGUGAAGGGCAUAAAGUUACGAGUCCUUUAUCUCCUGAAAGUGUUAUUGACUUGUUCAAUAUGUAGUUUUUUAUGCAUUGAAUUUUCAACUCCAAACCAGUUUGCAGGAAAUGCAUAUAUGAGAAGCUCUCAGAUGAAGAGGUAGAUUGCUGUCCUGUAUGCAAUAUUGAUUUGGGCUGUGUUCCUGUGGAUAAACUCAGGUCAGUCCUGUCUGAACAGUAACUAGGCUUCACUCUCUCCUUCUCCUUGUCCCUCUGGUUUAGAAAUUCAAGGAGAUACACAUGCACAUUCACAAAUGUGUUUUAAGACAAUGGAUAUGAAUGCAUGCACGUAGUCCUCAGUGGCAAGGAUCUACCAUAUACAUGCUGUACUUUCAAAUUUGCUUUAGUAAUAUGAAUGUUUGGUUUUUGAUAAGGCAUGUAGAUCCUUAAAUCUUAUUGUUCAAUUUUAGGAAUUUAUAUCAAAACAUGUUAUUUUAUUAACCUAAUAAGUGGAAUUAGUUUUACUAUGCAAAGAUAAUGGUGGUAAUAGUGAUUGAACAUUGUUCUCAAGAUCUUUUAAUGGAUUUCAUAGUUCCCUACAAUCUCGAUUGGUUGUCCAAAAUACCUUAAAUGAACCCAAACCUGAAACCAAAUAUGAAGUAGAAUAAAGGCAGUGUCACUUUACAUCACCUUCGAUGAUCCCAUUCAAAAGCCUAGGGUUUUGAUGUAACACUAUAGAGCAAGUUGAACACUUGUCAGAUGCUCGAAAAGAACAAUGAUAAGGAAAGAGUUCUCAAACAGUUUGUCCACUUGGAAGAAGCUAUCUGGUGUUGGAAGACAAAUCUGCAUUAACCUUUCGUCUAGUGUCCCCACACCUCUUGUUUCUCUAUGGUUGUUAAGGAGAGCAAGAACCUCAACAUGAUAUCAUUACCAACCCUAGUUGGCUUAGAGAACGUUAAUUUUACUUCCUUCUUAAGGUUCUUAAACAAGCCUUGGAUUUUAACUUGGCCUGGAUAACUGAGGCAACUAUUUUUGAAGUUAAAUUCUCUGAUCAACUGGUGGUGCCUCAGCUUAGGAACACAAGGAGGUCAUUGAUUACCAACUUGCAAUUACCCAAAAUAUAAUGAGCCUCGGUCACCAAGGUCACCUAGUAGGCAAUUAUCCCUAAUCAUCACCUCUUGGUUGGACUACUCAAAAACUACAGAUUGUUUAAUGGAAUCAAUGGGUACACAUCACGAGUCUUGUAAUGCUUUAAAGGUAUCCUUCUCUCUGAUCAUGGAGAGAAUUAUUAGUCACAGCAUCCACUUUUCCUAAUAGAGGGACUUUCACAGCAACAAAAUAAAGGGGUUUCAGAAUAGCUUGAACCUUCCCAAUAGAGUUGAUGGAGGAAGCUGGACUGGAUUAGUGUUUGUUUGCAUACUAAAGACUAGCUUGGGUUGGUUUUUGGGAGGCUGACUUGGUAGCUUUCUUUUUGGAUCUUAGUCAAAUUUGUGUAUUUUUCUGUUGAUAUAGUCAGGAAGAUACAGAUUUGGUGAUGACCUGAGGGCUUAACACCUCUAGUUGCCUGUGGGGAUAUGCACAUCGUAUAAGAGAGCCAUGGCCUCUCUCCCAUUGGACCUGAACACUUCCAGCCAACUUCCAAACAUCUUCAACUAUUUAUAUUGAUACCCAGCUACUUACACUCUCAAACCAUCAUGUUGUUUCCUUCACUUUUUUCAACAACUAGUUGCUUUUCACUUUGUGAAUUUAAUGCACUUGCUUAAAUUGGUAAUUUUUCUUUUCCUUUUUUUGGCUUUUGCAGCAGACCUUUUAUAUAUAUAAUAAGCACUAAUGACAUUGUGCAUGAGGCCUAUUGGGAUCAGGAGAACCUUUUGUUUUGUUUGUUCUGUUUAUUUAUUAAUUUUUUUUCUAUCAGCUCAUCUCUGUCAUUGCUUUGGUAUAAAUGAUCCUCCUUCGUACUAAUAUACACAUACCCAUCUUUACUUAUCAGAAAAAAAAAACAAAAAACAAAAAAUCCUCCUUCAUCUCCAUAAAACCACAAAAUUUAAGAUAUUAUAAGAGUCGAUGACAGGCUGCUCUAGGUCAUUGUCAAGUUUCUAUUUCUUCAAACAUUUUCUGAUGUAUGCUGGUUUUUCAUUUUCUCCCCUUCUAAUUUAGACCAAUAUCCAGAUAUUGCUGCAACUGGUGAUUUUCCAAUUUGGCUCCAUUUAGCAUUAGGGAAACUAGAUGUGGUAUUGAUUAUCUAAAGGCCUACUCUAUUGAAGUAGAUGCAUUGUCAGUAACUACAAUGCCGAGAUUCACUUAAAUUCACAGCUACAAAAUUACAGACCCCUUGGGAAUAUUGAUUCAAUUCCUUCUGUCUUUGAGACUUCUGUCGGACUAAGGCACCCUUUAUCUGGAAAAGCUGAAAGAAAUCACACCUGGAGUUGGAAUGAUCUAGGGCUUCUGAUUCACAGGCUACAAGAAGGCCUUCUAACUCUUCUUUCAUAAUUGCCUUAAAGGGUAUAUGGUAUAAGAUCAAUUGGUUGUGAACCUUGCAACACCGAGCAUUGGUACUUCAUUGUCAAUAACUACAAUGCAGAGAUUCACUUAAAUUCACAGCUACAAAAUUCUGGAGUUAUUUCCAGAAUUCUUGAAUAUUUGAUUUGACAAACAAAACCCACAUAUAUUCUGAUGUUCUGGUUAUUCCCAAUUACUACAAACAAUUCAAAAAUUCCAAGUUUGUAACUGUAUAUAUUUAUAAGCCUCCAAAAUGAAGGAAGCACCUUUUUUCAGUUGCCUUCUGUUUUUUCUUCUUUUGUGGAACUUUGCUUUCAGCCAGAUAGGCUGGCUACACAAACUUUAUUCAUCUGAUAAUGCAAAUGCUAAAACAGUUUAGAUUACAGGCUCCCCAAUCAUUAGUGUGUGCUACCUCUAACAGCAUUUCCACCUUCAGAUAAUUUUUUUUAUCCCCUAGCAUCUCUGUCUUCUGGGGACUUGUGUUUAGAUUUUCUCAUAUUUACUUAAGUUUGCUUGAUAAUAAUAUGCAGGCCUGACCACAAUUUGCAAGAUAUAAGGGCCAAAAUUUUUCCUUUCAAAAGAAGAAAGACCAGUGUUCCUGAAGUUAUGCCUCCAAUUCCACUGCCAGUUAAAAGGAAGGAAAGAUCACUUUCAUCUUUGGUCGUAAGCACUCCCCGAGUAUCAAUGCAGACUGGCUUGACCGGAAGGAGAACAAAAGCUGUUGCGAGAAAGAGUACUGCUCUACGAGGUUCCAGUUUUUCCAUUGUGGAACCCAUUAAGAAAGAGGAAGAUUCUGUGGAAGAUUGUCCAGAAAGCUCAAGCUCACCUGAGUCUCGAAACAAAGUUGCUCAAACUAAGAAGCAGGUAAAGGAGGCAAGGAGUUUUGACUCUUUGGGCUUGUGUGACAAACUUCAAAUUGGUUUCAUUGAGCUAUCCCUUUUAGGUAAUGAUAUAUUUGCCAUACUGUGAUAACACCUCUGCAUUAUUGUUAAAUCAAUUGUAGAAUUCUUCCAUAUCUGAAGCUUCAAAAGAUCAAAAGCCUAAUAAAGAUACUGAGAAUGAUGCUGAUCCAUGGGAUGGAAAAGUUGAUCUGUGGACACCCUUAAACUGUCUUGUUGAAGCUGCAAACAGAACCAAGUCCUCUAAAUUUAAUUCUCAAGGGACGUCUCUUGCUAAGUCGGAACCAUUUAAUGCUCCUGACAGUGAAGUAUAUAUGCCUAAAACUAAAGCUAAAGCAGAGCCACUGAAUGCUGCUGAUGGUGAAGUCUGCAUUCCUAAGACCAAAAUCAAGGAGCAUGGACACAAAAUAAAAGUUCAAGAUGAUAAGAAUGGAGCGGCCUUGCUUCCAGGACCAGUGAAACGUAGAAGAAUGCGUGCAGUGGGCCGAAAAAGAAUAUCUGCAUCAGGGGAAAUGUGCACCCCAGCACAAGUUGUGCUAAGUGCUGCAGGGGCCAAACGCGGCAGAAGAAAUUGUCCAAUUUGGUUCUCAUUAGUUGCUUCUGAAAACCAGUAAGAAAUCACUUUGAUCAUGAAAUUUAAUUAUCAUAGGUAUUUCUUUUGAGGGGGAGCUUGAUUUAUGAUUUCUUUAAUUUUUUUUUUUUUUUUUUUUUUGCUGAUUAUAUGGUUAAUGGAUUCAGGGGAGGAAAUGGUCCCUUGUCAAAGAUACCUGCAUAUUACUUGAGGGUAAAGUGAGUAUAUUUGGUUCCACCACCUGCUUUCUGUUUUUCUGCAAUUUUCCCUUUUUUGAUAAGAUAAAUUUGGCAUUCUAAGUUAUUUUUUUUCCUAUUUCAUUCUAUUUGUUUACUUUAUUAUGCUCCACAUUUCUGUUGUAUAGGAACAUCUUUAAAUGUCAUCCUGGAAGUAGGAUUUGUGGAUUAAUGUUGGUAUAUAUUUUGUUUUAUUAUCAUUAUCAUAUAUGUAUGAUUCUGGAGGAACAGUGGAGGAACUCUACUGGAAGAAAAAAGUGAUUGAAAGAAAGACUUCAUUGGAAAAUAUAGGAAAAACACCUUAUCCACCGUGCCCACAUACACAUGCACACAGGCACACGCAUGCAUGCCAACACACAUGAGAUAGUUAAGAGCUUUGUGGCUUGCUGUAACCUGGAACUUCAUAUUGUCAAACGGAGUUUUCAGACAAAAUGUGCAUUUCAUAUUUUACCUAAUUGACAUACUCUAUGACCAUGAAGUUAUGACCACAUCCAAGGAAAACUCUUGAACAGGACUAGAUUCACCAAUUCUCAUCCUUAAUGGAUGCUAAAUUAGUUGGCUAAGUGCAUAAUGCAUGGACAUGGUGAAGAUAAAAUAAGAGAACAACAAAGACCUCUUGAAUAGCAACAAACUCAGGAAUUUACAUGACUCUUUCAAAAAAUCCAUGAGUAAGACGAUAUAAGUUUCUCUUCAUCUGGAAAUUUGGUUUCAAAAAUAGGGUUUUGGAGGCAGAAGAAAAUGGUAUAUGCAUACUGUUGUCCUUACAGUUUGAAGCAUCGUUUGUGUACAUCACAGUAUCACAGUAUUACUGUAUUCUUUACUGCUGUCUAUGAGUACUUCAUUUGUCCCUUUGAUUGAUUAAUACUUUGAUGUCAAGAUGAAACAUAGCCCGCUUGCUGCUUUAGAGGUAAAUUGUGUCGUGAAUAGAAGGAUCAUGUAUUUUUGCUAGUGUUACUUUCUUUUGUUAUAUGAAUAAGAUGAGCAAAGACAUUCUCAUUCGUGAUAGGCAAAAUAGGACUUGUAUAGUAAUUACAAAUAGGGAGCAGGAUACCCUUUCCAACAUUGUGUUUUUGGAUAUCUUCUAGGAAGUAUUUUCUAUCUCUACUUUUAGGAAUAAGAUAUGUUUUAAGUCAAGAAUAGCUCAUUUUGAUGUAAGAUCUGCACACUCCCUAAGAGGAUAAAACCAUUUGAAACCUUGACUAUUAUGAUAUUUUUAUUGAAAAUAUCAUCCCAAGCACAUAAACAUCCUUUGAUAUCUCUCAGAAAACUGCUGACCUUUAUGUAGAUCCAAAAUGGAGCAAGUGGAGUAAUUUAGCAUUAAUAAUAUUGUCAGGUGGUAAGCUCAAGAGUAUCUAGGGCUCUGGGCUGCAUCAAAAUAAUAAAAAAAUCAAUGCAUUGAAAGAAACAGAUAAAAUAAGAAAUUUCUUUUUUAUAUUGAUUUCCUAUUUACAGACACCCACUUGAUAUUUAUGCAGAUUAAGUUCCUUUUUUUCACAUUAAUGUGAUUCUUUUUUUUUUUUUCUUUUUUUUUAUUUUGUUGCAUCCGCUUUUAUGAUGAAACAUGAUAUCAUUAUUUUGUGUAUCAAUUAUAUCUUGGCAAGAGAGGUUUUAAAUUACUUCAAAGUUUCCCAACAAGAUUGCUCAGCUUCUUUAGAACAUCUCUAUCAAAUGAAAGUUCUAUUUAACCUGGGUGGUGGUUUUGAAUAACUGGGCCCAACUGAAUCUGUAUUAAGUGAUGUAUGAAUUGUUCUGAACCAUAAAAUUGUCAAGAUUUGGGAGUAAAUCAUAAAAUAUGGUGAAAGUAUAAAUCAAGAAUGAAGUAUCUUUUCAAUUUUAAAUCUAAUUUAAUUUAAUUUAAUUCAAUUGUGCAGUUUAUAAACAAAAGUGAGUUUUCCAAUAUUCUUUUACAAGAUCAAGGGAUUUUUUUCUUCUUUCAUUUAGACAUCACUUGAAACAAUUAUAAUAUUGCAACUAAUUCCUGAAUUAGUUACCAACUUUGAGGUACAUUAGAGUAAAUUCCCGAGUUACUGAAUUGCAUGAAACUAGAUCAGAUUUAGCACUUGAAGAAUUUUGUUAUCAGUGGGAUAAAAUUUUUUGGUUCUUGAGAUUUAUGUCAAAGGAUGCUUCAAAUGACCCUCCCCAUGGGCUUAUAUAAAGCCUAGGAAGCUUCUGGAGACUCCUACAUUAGUGGGAAGAGUGUGGAAGGUUCUAGAGAUGCCUAGAGAAGUCCACACAUCUCUACACUAUGGUGGAAGGCAUGAGAGGAGUCCAAGGCUUUCUAGAAAAAUCUAGAAAUCUCUUGUAUAUUCUUGUACAUAACUCUUGUACAUAGAAUUAUGUAGGGUGUUCUAGAAUUUUCUUGAUUUGUAAGGAACCCUCCAAGGUUCCAGAGAGUUCCAUUGGUGCCUAAAAAUAGAUAAGGCCUUCAUUUAGCCAAGGCACCACCCAAAAACCUCCCAAGAUCCUAACCAACCAACCAAUUGAGUUCCCAAAAGCACUUAUAAAGCUUCCUUUGAGCAAUAAAAGCUUCCAUUCUUUAAACGUCACCUACUACACCUUCUAAAGCUUCCGAGUCGUAAGCAUCUUAGCCUAGCAAGCUAAGCAUUGGGAGUAAGGCUGACUUAGUAAGAUCAAGUGUCUUGACUUGUCUAAGUGUCGCAUGAGCUUAGGAAAAGACUAAGUCCGUGACAUAGCUCUAAUGAUAAAAAAAACUGGAGAUAAUCUUCUCAUUGUUUCUAUAGUGGUUUUGUAUGGCAUUUUUCUGUUAUUCCAUCAUUUACAAGUUUUUUCUCAGUGGUUUUGCACAUGCAUGCUUGUGGUCUUAGCUCUGUUUGAUUUUUAUCUUGCUCAUUGAAUUAGGAUAUCACCUAUUACGCAAACAUUACAAAAUGGGCCUUCUUUAUGACCAUGUUCUUGUCUGUUAAAUUUUCAGAACGUGAUAAUGAGGUUGGCAUCAACGUUGAUGUUUUUACCGGUAAAUUCUCGCCUGCACUCAUGUUUUUCUAUUUUUGCAUUGCAGGGAUGGUAACUUGCCUGUCUCAUUUAUUCAGAAGUACCUUGUAAAGAAACUUGAUCUGACCAACGAAGCUGAGGUAAGCACUUAUUUUACCUUCCCUGACAGCUAGAAAUGUCUGGGUGUGUCUUUGUCUGUGCUCUUUACAAAGAUAUUGUUAGUUGUUAAAUGCAUGAAUCCCCUUCCUGGUUAUUGUUUGCUAAAAGCAGGAAGCUUAACAUUUUCAAAAAAAUUAGAGGGAAGCCAACAAAUGUUAAGCUUGAGGUCCCCACUUACACUUUCCUGGAGAUUCAUGGCAAUGGAUUUGAAGGAGAGUUUAUUCCAGUUGCUUAUUAGUUCCUAUAGUCCUCAUCCUUAGGAGUUUGCUCACAGCUUGAUAACUCCACUGCCCGCAUGCUGCUUAGAAACCAGUAAUGUAACAACCCUUUCCCUCCCAUGUAAAUACUGUCCGCUUUGAAUUUACUAGGCUGUCACAACUUUAAAACUCGUCUAUAUGAUUAAAAAGAACUCUACCAUAUAUAUAUAUAAUUAGUAUCAUAAACUUGUUCCGCUAUCCGAUAUGGAAUAGAAGCAUCUGUGAGUGGUAGCCGCAUGAUCCCAGAUUCCCAAUUCAUCUAUUUUCAGAAAUCUUGGCACCAAAACAUCACAAACUAGAUCUUUUUUCUUUUCUUUUGGACCAAACGCAGGUCAAAUCAUUUGCAUCCCAGAAGAUUUGUCCUUUGUCAUCAACACCUUCCAAUUAGCCAAAGCUGUAUGUUUUGUGUUUGAUUUGCUGAUUGUGUCUGUUAAUUGUGUUGGUGAAGGUGGAGAUAAGGUGCCAGGGUGAAGCAGUGGUUCCGACGCUGCAGCUGCAGAAGUUGGUGGAGCUAUGGCUGCGAACAGCAUCGACAUCAAAAAGAGUGGCAACAUCAGUAGGCACCUCAGCCAAGGAAUUUGUGAUGGUCUUGACAUACACAAGGGUCCAAGCCCCUUGAAGACACAAACAAACCUCUAUCAUUCUUCUUCUCCAUCUUCAUUAUUCAAAUCUUCAAUAAUAUAUUAUCCCCUUGUAGGAUGUCAUAAAAAUCCACCCAUUUUCUGGGUGCACUAUGUGUGAACGGUGUGAUUAAGCCACAAUUUUCCAAAAAAAAAUUCUGUACAAUGUACACCCUUUUUCAUUGCUCUUAGCAAUGAUCCGGAAACAAUUUUACCAUUUGGAUAUGAUUGCAUCUCUCUGCUGGUGGCUGAGCUUCUUUGAAAAAUGGAAAUUGAAAAUUGUAUUAAGUAUUUUAAUCAUAAUCCCAUAGAUUUUCUGUUUUAUGUUCUUAAAAGUAGAAACUUUUGUAUAAAAAAAUAUGGACAUGUAUUAUGUUCUUAAAAAUUAAUUUCGAAAAUUUUACAAUUUGAGGUAGUAAAAGGUUUCUGGUCUCUCAAAUUUUUACUUAAGAUUCAAAAAUUAUAAUAGUUUUAAUGUAAAUUUUUAAGAAUUUUUGUAUUUAAUAUUAAAGUUAUUAUUUGUAUUUUAUGAACAUUUAGGUAGUGUUUGUUUUUUUAUAACUCAUUAAAAGCAAUAUAAUUAGAUUGAAUAUAUUGAAAAUAAAUUCUUUUUAAUUAUAUUGGUUGAUAUUAAUGUUAUUUUUAGUUGAAUAAAAAAAGUCUAAUAUUUUGGAUUUUUUAAUUCAACUAAAAAAUAAACACUAUUUUAAAGUGUGUUUGGCAAGUUUCUACAUGUUUUUAAUGAAAAUGUUUUCUUAAAAGUAUUUUUAUGAUAAUCAUUUAUUAAGAGUGUAUUUAGUAAUGUUUUUAAUCAUUCUAAUACUUGAAUAAAAAAAUUUUGAGUAUUAAAAAUAUUAUAAACCCUUCUUAAAAUUAUUAUCAAGGUUUUAAGUAUUCUUUAAAAAACACUAUAAAUGAUUUUUGAACAAUAAAAAUGAUUUUUUGGAUUUUUAAAAGUAUUUCAUAAAUUUUAUAAAAUACUUUUUUUUUUCAAAAACAUUUUUAGCUUUUAGAAUCACUCUAAUAUGAUAUGAGAUUAUUAUAAUUUCAUUAAAAUAAAUAAAUAAAUAAAAACUACAAUCAAAGGUGACUCAUUGUUUAUAUUUAAAAAUAUUAUUAUUAGAAUUAUAAUAUAUAAACUUUGGAGGGACACAAGUAUAAAAUGUAUAUAUUUAAAUAUUAAGAAUUUAUAAGAUAUUUAUUUUAGGGAUACAAAAUGAUUUUAGAAAAAUGCUAAGUAAAUGUUAGAUAGCAUAUUGCAAAGCAUUUUUAUUUCUAGAAAUAAAAAUUGAAAAGGGAUUAGAAAAUUGUCUCACUAUCUCCUUUUUUUUUUCUUUUUUCUUUUUUUGUGAUUUCCUAUUAAUAAUAAUAAUAAUAAUAAUAAUUGAAAAAAAUAAUAAUAAUCUUUGGAAGACGGUUAUUAUUUUCAUUUGUCCAGCCAAACGGCCCACUUCUAUUUGACUGAUGCCCGACCGCAUUGGGAUCCAGGCCAAGCCCUUCUACUAGUUUCCAUUUCUACACGCCCUUUUCCUCGACCCCAGCCCUCGUCGCCUUCAUCGAUCAAAUAUGCAACAGGUAUGUAAAACCCUACCAAAACCCUAAUUUUUUUCGUUCUUACUAUUUUCUUCAUAAUACUGAUAAGGCAUUACAACAUGGAAGAGUGGAGGAUCUGAAACAGAGGUGACAUGGGAGGAUCAGCAGAACAUUAACAAAUUCGGAAGACUAAACAACAGAUUUCACGAGCUCGAAGAUGAGAUCAAGAUGGCCAAGGUAAUAAAGAAAAAAGAAAGGACUUUUCUGUUUUCCUUUUCGAUCUAUGAUUUUUGUUAAUUUUUUAAAAAUUUGGUUCUACUUUUUAACUGUGUUUUUAUGCUAAAUUUGAGGUUGGUUUUAAAAAUUAGAGGGAACCCUGAUUUGUUUUUGUCUUCAUUUGGUGGGUUUUUUGAAUAAAGUUCUUCUUUUCACUGGAUUUUUCUGUUAGUUUUCGGAUUAGGGUUCUGAUUCUGGAUCUUGAGUUAUUCACUGUAUUGCAUGAUCUUAAAUGGACUUUAAAAACCUACAGAAGGGCUUUUUUCUACCUCGUUUUUCUAUGGGUAUUAGGAAAAAAAAGAUUCUUUCUUUCAAUUUCAUAUGGGAUUUACUUGAUUGCUGUUGAUUUCUGAAUAUUAGAAAAACGCAGCUUUACCUUUUAAGUUUGAUGGAUAUUAAUAGAAGAAAUAUGGAUUUGGACUUAACUUUUGUGAUUGGUGGAAGUGAAGUGAGAAAAGUUGGAAAAUAGUGCUCAUUGGUGUGCUAGGAGCUUGUUUUUAUAAAUAUAACACAUUUAAAUUUAAAUAAAAUGGAGAAAUUGAGCUAAAGGAUGCACUUGAAGCAGAGAAGCAAUGGAGACAUCUUAAAGGCAAUUGUAGAAUUUGAAAUUGGUUUUUCUUGUCUGAAUUCCAAAGCAAUGUAACAUUUACAUGUUGAAUAAUGCUUGCAUUGUAUAGUGUAUGUAUGAUCCACCGUCACUAUGAGAUUCAGAUUUAAAAUAUUUAUUAGAGACAUUUCUGUUUGUGAAGAUUAGAAAUGAUUUUUCCACAAAUCAUUUCUAAUCUCACAUGCCUUGUCAUGCACAAGGGCAUAUGCCACAAAUUGAAAUGAUCAGGGAGGGUGUUGGAAAAGCAUUUAGCUAAUGAUUUGGCUAGGUUUCCAUGAUCCUAUUUGAUUGAUAUCUUUGAUUAUCUACACCAAUGAUGCUCACAGUGAAAAGAUGUGAAAGUUUUCUUCUGUCAGCGAGAUAUUUUAUAUUGGAUAAACUAAAGGUUGGUUGCACGAUGUAUUAAGAGCAAUCAUCAGAUUGAAGGAAGCAAUAUAACACACUCAAACAAUGCAAAAUAAAAAUAAAAAAUAAAAAAGACCUUGUUGUGAACUCUUUGAAAAACUUUGAUGUUGGAAAUAUAAUCUGUUUGUCUUACUGAGGUUAAAAGUGGCUAAGUUUUGAUGAGUUUUCUUCUACAUUUGGUCUUGGGAUUCAUUGUUCAUGGGUUAAGUGUUCUACUCUUGAGCAUGAUAGCUUGUCCUUAUUUUUGGUUCACAUUAUGUAUCAUUCCUCGUGGACAUGAAUUUCAAGCAUCUAGCAUCCCAUUUAACACCACUGCCAAAGUGCAACUUCUAAUUCUUUUCCAUAAAAUUGUUUCCUAAUAUUGGUUUCCAUACUUGAUAAAACAGGCAACAUUUAUAUGCAUGUAUCAUUCUUCUAUGCUUCUUACAACUGCAUUUCUCUGUUUAUGCAUAUUUAAGAAGUUGGGCUUGAUCCACAGAUUGUUGAUGUGGCCUCAGGCUGAGUUUGUGACAAACCAAGCUUGCAUUGAGCUGGAUCAGCUUGGCAAUUGAGAAUGCUAAAAUUUUGUGAUAAUGGAAGUUUCUUUGAAGAUUACUUAAGAAAAUAUAAAUUUUAUGUGUGAUUGAUUGUGUACGAAUGAGAUAUAUUUGCCCAAACCAACUGUAGCAUUCAAGAUUGAAAACUGUACUUAGUAUUGGUUUCUCUUCUGAACCUAAGUUAGUUUUCUCUAUUACUCAAGUUGGCAUGUUUGGUUAUGUCCUUCAAACAUUUUUCUCAAUUCCACUUAAUGAUGCCUUAUCUCAACUACUUAUUUCAGUCAUGUGAAUCAGUUUGCACCUUUCUACCCUAUGUAGUGUCAUUUCUUUCAUUGAGUCCUUCACUUCAAUGUCCUCUCUAUCAAGUUCUCUGGCACAUUUCCCCAUAUUCUUGUAGUACCCAUUAACUUGAUCUAUGUCAACCAAUAUUGAUGAAAACACACGUUCUUGUUAUGCAUGGCCACAACACAAGGAUCAGUAACAGAAAAGGAAAAGGUCAUAUUUAGUUCUCUAUCUCCUUGAGGAAUCAAGCCCUUCUAGGUAAGUAGGUGUGGAGGUUGCCUUGAGAGAACAACACUUUUUGGUAUAGAGUCAUCCUAAGUAUUUAUGGGUUGCGCCCCCAAUGAUUGGGAUACCAACUUUGUUGUUAGGUGCUCACAUUGUUCCCCUUGGAAAGCCAUUUCUCAACUCUUCAACAAUUUUUCUAAUUUCACAUUAUACUUGGUGAGAAAUGGCACAAAAAUUCGUUUUUAGGAGAAUGCUUGGCUAGACAAAUGUCCUUUCAAGCUUCAAUUUCCAAAUAUUUUCAAAGUUACAAGGACUAGAGAUAGGCUUGUUUCGUCAAAACCUUUAUGACACAAAGAUUGAAUAUCUAAUUAGCCCCUUUCAUUCCUACUUCAUGCAUAUAUAUCACCUUCCCUUCUAAUAAAAGAGUUUAGUCAUUAACACCCUCAAUAUUUUCUCUAUGAGCUCUUUCUAUAAAGCUCUCUUCGUUUUUCCUCACUUUCCUGUUAUGACCUCUUUUGCUCUAAGUUAAUUUGGAACUCAAAAGCUCCACCAAAGGUUAAUCUUUUGUUUGGCUUGUGGCUACCAAGAAGGUUAAUACCAACAGCUUCAAUUGAGGAGGCCUUACAAAGUUCUUAGCCCAAACCAUUGUGUUAUGUUCUUGAAGAGUAGUAAAUCAGCCGAUCAUCUUUUUCUUCAUUGUCCCACUGCACUUUUACUUUGGUAUAGAUUGUUAUGCAUAGCCAAUCUUGAAUGGUUUCCCCUUGGAGGCAUAGUAGAGAUGUUGAGAAUCUCUUUUAAGGGCUUUAAAAGCCUACCUACCAAAAGGGAAGGCUCUUUAGCAUAUGGUUAUUUUAUCCUUGAUAUGGUUUAUAUGGUUAGAGAGGAAUGCAAGGAUUUUUUAGGAUAAAUGAAGAUUUGUGGAUGCCAUAUGGGACGAUUUACUUUUUCCUCCUCCCUAUGGGCCUCGGUCACCUAGCCCCUUCUAGAUAUUCCUUUGUAUCUUUUAAUGCAAAAUUGGAAGAGUGCUUGCCACUCAAUUAGGUUGAAGAAGAAAGUUAUGAUUGAUUGGUUACCCUCCCUAGUUGGUUUGGUAAAGUUAAACUUUGACAAGUGUUCUUUGAGUAAACCCUAGUCAGAUAUGUACUAGAGGUGUGACUGGAGAUCACUCUUAUCCAUUAUUAAGAGCUUACUCGAAGCAUGAAGAAGCGGGGUUGGCUAAUGAGAUAGAAAUAUUGGCAUUAUUGGACAACAUGCUACAAGCCAAAGCUUUAUGCCUAUCCAAUCUAAUUGUAGAGGGAGAUUUUAACACUGUAAUAUCUUGGAUGAGUAAUAGAGAAAGAGGUCCAUGGAAGUUUGUGAAAUGGAUGCACAAAAUCAUAGAUAUUGCUAGCGAGUUGGGUUGUUCCUUCUCUUUGGCUCCUUGUUCAGCUAACGAAGUCACUAAUAAGUUAACCAAAUAAGGAGCAAAGCAUUUGGCCUCCUUUUUGGAGAUUUCCCUCCCCCUUGAGUGUCUUAAUGUUUCUCUACUGUAUGUAUAUCGGUUUUCUCCUAGUGAGGUUGGCUAGUUUUUGUGGAUCUGGUUACUUGGUCACUUUCCAAUGAACCUUUGUACAUCAUUUUAAUAGAUUGCUUGUCCUUCUUGUAUUCAUCACUUGAUUGAUGAAUGAAGAUGUUUGUUUCUGAUUUUAAAGAAAGUUAUCUAUCUUGCAGUUUGGUCCAUUCCUCUUGCAGCAUGACAUCACAAUAUUAAGUGACCCAGUAUUGCACUAAAAGAAAUAACGCCAAUGAAGUAAUGAAUUAUCUUUGCUUGUGGAUAAAAUGACAAUUACUGUCUUGAUAUAUGGAAUCAAACAAUAUAUAUUACUCCCUUCUGUGCAAAAAAUAUUUUGUUACUUACUGCCAUGAAUUGUGUCAGAUCUUUCCAUGCCUGUUCCAUCUCUUUAUAAGCAAUUAAAACAUCGGUCAAUCUGUAUAUGUUUAGUUGCCAUCCCCUUUUAACUUAAUGGCUUAUUUCUUCAGGAAACAAAUGAAAAUCUGGAGGAUGCAAGCAAUGAGUUGAUUCUCACAGACGAGGAGAUGGUCCGCUUCCAGAUAGGAGAGGUUUUUGCUCAUGUGCCGAAGGAAGAAGUUGAGGAGAGGAUAGAACAGAUGAAAGAGGUGACUAGUAAGAAGUUGGAGAAGCUAGAGGAGGAGAAGGAUUCUGUAGUUGCACAGAUGGCAGAACUGAAAAAGAUUUUAUAUGGAAAGUUUAAGGAGUCAAUCAAUCUAGAGGAGGAUUAGUGGGAAGUUCAAGCAUUCCCCCCCGUCUGGCUCCUUCCCGCUCUUUGGAUAAUGUGUGUUUCCUUGUUGCUAGGAUGUAUGUGGGGAAUUGUUGAUUAUUUUUCCUUCGAAUAUGAUAUCAAUGGCUCAUUUGAGGAUUGUUCCCAUUUGCUGUCUUUACCGUCAAUUCACGGCUUCCCUUGAAAAUUCAUUUGUUUCCUCAGCAUUUUCAUUAAAGAUAUCUUUCACAAAGUCAUGCUACAAUGCACUUCCAAGGAGAGAUAUCCUUCCCUAUCAAACUAUAUUGGGAAUCCUUAAAUUCCCAUCUAGUCUGAAAACUCACCAUGAAAGAAUCCAACUCAGAGGCUCACAGUGGAAUGAAGCGUUGAUUUGGCAUUUUGCCCUGAGCAGUGUAUUCUUGGCGUUCGCUUCAUGGGUUUGAUGAUAUUUUGGUUUCUUCGCAUCAUAUAACAAAGAUGAUAUAUCCCUUCUGAUCCUACUUUCCUUUAGGUCAUGGUUUCACGUCCCAUGAAAGUGGAACCACCCCAUACCAUGUACUCAUGAAACAUUCAAAAAGCUAGACAUUUUUGUCUGUCAAUGAAUUGGCCUUAAUGUAUCAAGAAAAAAUAAAAUAUAUUACUCAAGCUGAAUCUUAAUCGUGUGUUAACCAAAGAACCCAGUCCGUCAACAUAACAGCUUGGCCCCAAUUUAUUUUAAGAGAAUGUAGGCUGUCAAGACAAGACCACAACUUGUCCCAUUUGUAAAUGAAAAACCAGCUAAAACCAGGUAGUCUUAACAGCUGCACUGCCUCAAAACUCAAAAGCAAUUUCCCCUAGAGAGCAAUAUAUUAUUUAUUUCCAUUGUCUUAAGAAAUGGAAGCAUGGGCAUAUCCAAGCCUAGUCAUAAUUGUAGUUUACAUGAAUUUCACCCUUUCUUCAGGUGAUUGCUGUCACUUGGGGCUGAUUGAUGAUGUAUCCUGGUAGCAACAAGUCUAACAACACAAAUGAAUCUCUCACUUUCUAUGUUUCGGUAGGUUUAUAUUCUCAGCACCAUCAUCAGGAAGAGGCAACUAGUUUCACAAUACUAUUCAUUAUGCGGCUUAAAUUUGCAGAAAAAGCAAUCAAAUGGUUCUAAGUUUUAACAAUAAUAGUUGCUAGAUACCAUUUGCAUUUCACAUUAGAAACAUGCUUCUUAACACAGACAAGUGCUGCCCAAAAAGCAAAAAUAGGCAUCCCCCUCUUUCCAGCACAUGAUCAAAUCCCAAGCACAGUAAGCAUACCAGCAUAUUUUAGGGACAUCAGAUAAAAGCUCAAACAGCACAUAAUGAUACCCAAGCCAAAUAUACCUGCUAUAUCUAGACAUCCCACAAACAGUUACAUUUUGUUUUUCAUAGAAUUUCAAGCAACAAAUCAAAAGAGAAUCUAUCAAUUAAAAUGAUCCCCCUUCACUUUAGUCAGCAGACAGAUUUAGAGAAAUUGUUUUAUGACAUCAUAAUAAUGGCCCUCUUCACUUGUUAAGAUGCCACCGGAAAUACAUUGGAGUCACUUCCAACACAGUGUACAAUGGAAAAACUGGCCUAGUAACCCUGGAGCUUCCAAUAUGUGAUAUUGAAUUAAGACAACAGAAAGAAAUAUCACCAAUUGAACAUCAUAAUCAUAGCACAACUAAUAUCAAUGCAAGCACAUGUGAGUUGAUCACCAUAAAAUCCAGAUAAAACAGCACAAAAUCCCAGCCAUUUAGUAUCACAAGAAGAGAACCAUCCAAUUUGAAUGUGCUGCUUAUUAACAUAUGGAACAUCACCAUCCAACUAAGCAUUUUAAAGUACAACUGAAUAAAGCUGUAGAGGAUGGUAUUACUUAAAACAUGAACUACUUUCUUUAAUGUAGCUUAGAAACAAUCUAUUGUGUUCUAAAGAUAAUGGUGAUCCAAAAAUAUAACCUUUCAAUGCUCUGUCAUAAAUAAAAUUUAAAAGAGAAUUACAAGCCCAAAAGGGGAAACCAACUUGCACUCAUGGGAGUAAAUUAUAGCCCCCUUUUUAAUUUCAUACUCCCUCCUUUUGUGCAUGGAGGCAGGUUCGAUCAAGUGAAUUUUCCUUCCCUAUUUCUGUGUAAAAAGGGCCAUCGCUGAAUAAGUAAAUCUUAACUGCUAAAGGUUGUUAUGAAGAAGAGUAACACAAACCCUGAACAAGCUAAAAAUUACCUCUCUUCCCAUAUUAGCAACAGAUAUCUGGCAGUAAACUCUAAUGAGUUGAUGCUAUUCUAUAGCACUCCUUUCCAAGGAAAGGAACCUGUCAAUUCUAACAUUUGCCCCUUUCCUUAUUUAACUCAAGCACCAAAAAUUGUAACGAUGGAAAUUGAGUGACAUAAACGCUGCAAUUCGAAUGCGUGCAUGCACACAACAAACUCAAUCAUGAUCAACUGUUAAAGUAGAUUAAUAAUAUCCUGCUAAAAACUAUGAUAAAAGGUACAGCUAACAUUAUGAAUUCAAGGCCUGCCAUGUUUCAUUCUUUAGUGAAGACCAAAAGCCGCUUAAAAAUACAUUCAGGCACAUCGGAAAAUGAAUCCAAAGACCAAUUAAUAAUUAAAUUGGGGAUUAUACUUCAAUUCUAAUCAAAUUUUCCAGUAUUGCCACACUAAUGUUUCUUUUAGAGGAAUCAGAUGUAUAUUGUAUUGAUUGAAUCACAAAGAUCUUACAUUUAGUAUUCACACCCAUUUCUCUCAAAAGGUAGUUUAUAAAUGGUAAUACUGCAAGCCGAGUAUUUUAAAUUGGCUGUAUCGAUAAGAAAGGGAGCAUAACUACAAAAGGUUUAAGGAUAUACAGAAAAGCUACUGCUUAUGGCAUCUUAAGCAUAAUCUCCAUAAAAUUUUGAAAGAAAAAUCUUUAUAUUCAUUUAAGAACUUCCAAAAUAUGAAUUAGAUACAAUAAUAAUAUUCCAAAUCACAAACCAUCAAGACCUGCCUGCUUUGGAUGCUAUUUGAGCUCUUGAAUGAACAAAAUCUCUUUUCCUUAGUAGCCUCUGGUGAUAAGUCAGCCAGAGCACAACAUGUUUGCAUGAUAGUUUUGCCAAUUCACAGCUAUAAAAUAGCAAUUACUAACCAAUGUGUGGCAAGCUGGAAAUUCUGCAAUAAGAAUAAUCCUUGCUGCAAUUUUGACGACCAAAAACCAAUUGACACCCACUUGAACUAAGCAUAUAAAAGGGUUUUUAUGUUAAGGCCAACCUAUCCAAGAACUGAUGACUUAGCAUUAAUCCAUGUACCUCACAAUGGAAUUAUAUUAUUAAAAAGAAUAUGUUCGAUAUGUAGCUCAAUUCGUUAACUGUCGUGUUCGGAAGCAACCACUUGCCUGUUUUGUUAAAGAGAUAAUUCAUCAUUAAACAAGGGACUGAUAAUUUUAGGAGAAUGAUUACCUAAAAAAGAAUCCAAGAUCUAACUUCAAACUGGUUUGAGGCAAACAAACACAUUUUUUUCUAUAGGAAAAGGGAAUUUAUUAAAUAGCACCUAACAACAAAGGAGACGCAACCCAAGAACACAAGACCAUUCAAAGAAACAAGAAAGAAGAAACAAAAACAGAAAAAAACACGUGCAAACAAACAAAUUGAUUAGAUCAAAAAAGUGAUUAAUAGAACUUGUCAUUCACAGGACUGACACAUACUAAUAUCAGCCACACGUGUCUGAGAUGACCAACAGCACAACACAAGAAUUUCAGGAGCAGAUUAAUCAUCAAAACUUUCCAAGUGCUACAAAAGUAAAGAAAUUACACUACUUUUUCCAUUUAAAGGAUAUCAGAAACAGAAAGUUGAAUUUACUUUCGAUGAUGACGACAAAUUUAUUAGCUGAUCUAAAAGUUCCAUGUAACAACCUAAAAUUCUGUUGCCACAAACCAAAAACACACAAUUGGAUCUGAAAGAUUUGAUAUUGUUGAUUCCAGCACAAAAUUCCAAACUCAUCCCUAUCCAAAUGAAGAUUACAUCAAAAUCCAGGUUAAGGAAAAAUCAGAAAAUGGACAAAAUACAUAUUCCCAGUCAUUGAUACGGAACCAGUAUACAGUACAAGUUUCUUGUAGUCCUGUAAGGUAGCACCAAAACAAGAAUGAUAGAAAUAGGCAUAGGAUCCUACCUCCUUUGAAACAAUUACAUGAGGAUAACCAAAAGAAUCAAUGAUAACUGCUUCGAAAUAAAGCCUAAAAGACCAAUAAUCAAUACCCACUUCCAUGGAGUUUGAGCCACUUGCAUCCUUAAAGGAGAGCGCAAUUUAUACACCUCAAAUAGAAUUCCAUAAGUCCAAGAACCAGUCCCCAAUUCCUUCAGGCUUGAACCAAUUGUAGAAAAAAUAACAAGCACCCAACAACAACAGCUUUGAGCCCAAAUUAAUUCCAUCCAGAAAACAAGAAAAUCUAACGAUACUCCCUUCAAAUUGAACUUCAAAACCCCGAUAACUAGAACAAAAGAAAAAAAAAAUCAAACCCGAGUAUAAUUGGUUGGCCGCAACUGCUGGCCACCCGCAACCGAGAGCAACCCUCCUUCUGCCACUUCCUCCUCAUUCAGAAACAAGUCUUCUGUGCCCCUAAACGCAGCGUGUAGCCCAACCACCGCAACCCCAAUUAUUAAAGAAACUAAAACGUUCAAACCCACAUCAGUAAACACCAAUGCCACAACUGUAAUCAAUCCCAGCAGUACCAACACAACACGGUCAUCGAUUGUUUGGUGAAACAACACUACAGGGUUGUCCCGGAAGAAGUACAGAAAGAACCAAGCAACGAAGAUUAUCAAGAAGACAAUCAUGGAUGUUGGGUGCCACAAAAGGCUCACAAAUAGUAUGAAAAGCAUUACCAUCGCGUAGUUCACGCGGAAGUAGUUGACAUUUCUCUUGAUUCGAGCCAUUGCAUCGCUGUAGUUGUGGGGACGGGAGAGAACUGAGUAGUCCAAGAACUCCCGCCAUGGGCGUCUUGUGGCCAUUAGGGUUUGGGUCCGUUGGGUGGCGCGUGAGAUGAAGGUGAACUGUUCGGAGGUUGACGACGAUGGAACGGCGGCGGAGGCGUUGGGAAGCGUGCCAUAACCGGCGGGUGAUUUUAGCGACAUCUGAGAGAAAUUGAGAAGUAAUAAUCCUUUACCCAAGAGAGAAAAAACAGAAGGGCUCUGGAUUUGAGUUAAUAAAGUGGAAAUCCCAAGCUCAGAUUGAUGAAGAGAGGAAAAAACUAAAGAGAGAGAGAGAGAGAGAGCAAGCCUUAAACCUAGAUUUAUGAAGAAGAGAGAAAGCUUGGCUUAGAAUUUAGGGCUUCACUGUAACCAUAAUGCAGAGGCAGACCCCAAGACGAGAAAAACGUUUUCUUGGGGUUUUCUUUUUCCUGAGAAAAUGAAUUAAGGAAAGAAAACGGAGAAAUGGGUUCAGUUCGUUGCGUGAUGACGACGUUAUCAAAACAGUGGCUAGGGUAAAGUCAAGACACAAAGUUCCAGCCUUCCACCUCACCAAGCUUCCCUUUCUGGCUUUACAAUCACAUGUGGCCACCUCUCAACUAACUCAUUAUUUAGAAAACAUGUUUUACAACGCUUCUUUUUAGUUUUUACAACAACUUAUUUUUUAAAAUGGGGUGUUUCUUAAAAAUAAUUAUAUUUUUAUUUUUUAAAAAAUUUAAAAACGCAUAAAUUAGGUUGAAAAUAUUUUAAUUUUUUUAGAAUUUUAUAUGUUUUUUAUUCUAAAUAAAAAAAAUAAAACUAUGAGACAGGUGAAAAACAUUUUUUAAAUUUAAUAAUAUUUUUGUAUUUAUGUUGAUAAUUUUACUUGUAAGUUGUAACUUAUGCCAUAAGUUGUUUUAUAUUUAAUGAAUUAUUUUUUGAAAAUUAUAUAUAUAUAUAUAUAUUUAUGAAAGGAGACUAAGCAUAACAUCUACAAAUUUAAUUGCAAGAUGAUCGAUAAUAAUAGUCAAAACUAAACUUUAUAAUAUCUUCAGGAAAAUUAGACUACUAAAUGAUUGAUUCUAAAUUACAAAUAUCUUUAUUAAUUAAGCAAUUUGUUGUUUUAUUUGUUUCCUUAUAAAUACGACAAUAAUUAUAAAUAUUUAUAUCGCAAGAUAACUUCCAAUUAUCCUUCAUUGAUAAUAGAAUUAGAAAUAUUAAAUUUUUUAUUAUAAUAAUUUUCCAUUCGCUUUCAAUUUCUAGGUUUACCAACCCAUUAUUCCUAACCAGUAACAUGUCAUUUCUUAAGUCAUACAUUCUAUAAUGAUGAUCAUAAUUUUUCUUACAGUUAUCUUUAUGUUCUUUCUUUUUAUUUUCUUUCCCAAAAACUUUAUUUCUCACUUUAAAAUAAAAUUAAAUAAAUAAGUAUUGUGUUACAUACACUUUCUAUUUGUUUAAAAAAAUAAAAGGGGCAAUAUCUUCAAUCUAGCAUGUGAUAGUUGUUAUAUAAAAUAUAUAGAUUUAUCAUGUACCCUUAAAUAUUACUUUUAAAAGAAAAUUGAAUUUAAGGUACUAUAACUUCUUCUUUAAAAAAAUAUAUAUAUUUUAGCAUUUUAAAUAGUUUUUAAUUUUAAAAGUAAUUAUCUUUUUAGAGUAAGUUUCAAACAUUUUAUAUUGAAACUAUUAUUAUUUUUCAUUUCUAAUGACAAAACAAGAAAUAUAACCAAAUCAACCUUAAAUAAACAACAAUAAAAUAAAUCAAUAAAUAGAAGAAACCAUGAUGAAUGAAGUUGCAAGGUAUCUUUCAUAUUAAACCAUCAAAAACCCGUAUUUUUCAUGUGUCAUCACUCAAUGGCAAAACUUGUUUUUUCAUUUGUGAAAAUUUGAUUUUUUUUUAAAGAAAAAAUAGAAUAAGAAAUAAAACUCUAAUAUGACUUUUUUUUUUUAAUGGAAAAACAUGUUUUUAAAAACGAGUCCAAAUCUAGGGUUAAGUUAUUUGUUGGAUGAAGAUAAGUUACUUGUUGGAUGAAGAGAAUUAUGAUAAUUAAUUGAUUAUUAUAUAAUAAAAAAAAUACAAUAAAAAUAUAUACAACAAGAUAAGAUGAAAAGCAAAUUAUAUUAACAUACAACACUGGUAAAGGAUUACACAAAUUAAUUUAUUAGACUAAUUAUAUUUUUUUUUUAUUUCCAAAUAUUACAAAAUUUUAAAGAAAUUUCAAAAGAAUUUAUUUACAUUAAAAGCAAUUUCAAGUUAAUGAUUUCAAUUUAUUUAUUCACAAAAAACUUAGUUUAUUAACAAAAGAUUUGAUCUUUAUUGGCAUUCAAAUUUAUUAAAAUACUAAUAAUAAUAAUUUGUAUAUAAAAUAAAAUAAAAAUAUAGAAGUUUUCACUACAAUGGUAAUAUUUUUAAAAAUUAUUUUAAAAGAUUAAAUUAUUAAAAAAAUUAUUAUCUCAAAUUUUAAUUUAAAAAAAAAAUAAUUUUGAAUGAUAUAAAUAAAUAUGAACUUUUGGUAUAAAUAAGAAAUAUAUCCAAUUAAUUUAAAAUAAAGAAGAAAAAGGAUAAAAGAAAUGAGAUUUCUAUUUCACCCCUAUUUUCUCUUUAUUCAUAUUCCUUUUAAGUGACAUAUUUUUAUUUUUAUUGACCAAAUUGACCAGAAUGCUGAUCUUCUAACUCUUGAAGAAUGAGGGUUAUAUUAGUAUUUUUAAAUUUUCAUGCUGUGGAAUAUUCGGAUAUUGGGAUAGAUCAUGUAUAAAGAUAAGGAAGCGGGGUAGGAAGGGAAGCGGUGGACACAAGUAUUUCAUAGAAGGAUGCCCUAAAGAAAGGUGGCGGCGUAGAUUCGGCGUUGCAGGCCGCAGAAGAACGAAAGCUCAGGAUGAUAGGAAGGGCUGUUGCUGCUUGGAGUUGGAGAUCAUCUUCUUCUUCUUCAUCUUUUGGUACCCUGCAUUCUCUUCCUCGCUUCAAUUGUUCAUCUGUUUUUGUUUCUUCUGAUUCGCUUUCCAAAACCCUACCACCGCUUGAUCACAUCGAUGGUGUUAUAUCUCGUGCUAAUCCUAUGCUUUGCUUGCGAUCGCAGCCCUCCAUUUCCAAAUUUAAUGGAUUUUUUUUAGGGCUAGUUUCCAAAAGCAAGCAUCACUCUAUCGUCAUUUCUAUGUGUAAACUUGAGAUUUCCUCUGGAAUUCCACUUGUUAAUUCUUUCUGCCAUUCGAGUAGGUGGGGUUUCUCUCUCCCCAUUUUCGGAGAUUUCCUUAAGCUUGCUGUCAACGAGUGACUGCAAUUUGGGGCUUGUAGUCAUCAGGCUACUUAGAAGCAUGGCCUGUAAUUGAGCAUGAGAUUGUCACUUAUUCAUAGCCUUUGUGAGGAUAGACAAGUAACCGAGGCUUUGAACCUUUUCUCUGAAAUGACCACUUGAUAAUUCAUGGCCUAUGUGAUGAAUGUAACCAAAAACAAGUUACCACAAUGUUGAAUGAAAUGGUAGAUAGCAAGAUAAUGCCAAAUGUAGUUCUACUUUUAAUACAUUGGUGGUUGGAUUUUGUAAAGAAGCAAUGGUGAUAAAAGCAUAUGAUGUAGUUGACAUGAUGAUCCAAAGAUGUUUGACAUUGUUUGUAGUCUGCAAUGAGCAAGGCAGUUAAAUUAUUUGAUGGGAUGGCAAGGGCUUCGCGCUUAAUGUUGUUAGCUAUAAUAUCUUGAUCAAUGAAUACUGCAAGAUUCAAAGGAUAGAUGAGGUCACGAGUCUCUUUGAAGAAACAUAUACGCUCCUAUGCACAGUUUGUGCCAUGUGGGAAGACUCCAGGAUGCAAUAGAACUUUUUCAAGAGAUGGUAGCUCAUGGCCAAAUUCGAAAUCAUUUUACUCGGGUACCUAUCCAAAAAUGGAUAUCUUGCCAAGGUUUUGACAUUGCUUAAAGCUUUUGAAGAUUGUAAUUUGGAUCCUGAUAUGCAAAAUUUAUAAUAUAGAUCAUUGAUGGCAUAGAUAUGAAAGGCUGAUGAACUUGAAGCUACAAGGGACCUCUUUUUAUAAUCUCUCUUCCAAAGGAUUGCUACCUAAUGUUCGAACUUAUUGUAUAAUGAUCAUUGGGCUUUGUCAAGAAGGUUUGUCAGGGGAGGCAGGUGAGUUGUUUGAGGAAAUGGAUAUAAUGAGACAUCCCGAGCAAUUCAACUUCUUAAAGAAAUGGCUGCAAGGGGAUUUCUAUUGAUGCAUCCACUGCAACCUUGUAAGUGUAAAUGGUUUCUGACGAUGGAUUGGAUCAACCUGUAAAACAAAUUUUGUAUGAGUUUAUGCAACAGGGCUAUGAUUUUCAUCAACUCAAAAGUAUGGAGUUCUUGGCAGUACCCUCUUGUGCAUUUGCUUGUGAAUUGUGAUUUUGGAACCAAAAGAGUUUGAUUUUAUGACAAUGUCAUGUUGUUGCAAUUAGUUCCAAUUUCUUUUGGAAUUUGUAUGAGCAAUGAUUCAUUGGUUAUAUGUAUUUGUAUUUUUUUUUCCCCUUGUAUGGUAUAGUAUGCUCUCACCAUACUGGCUUGACUACCAUUGCAGGUUGUUUUGGUUGCAAGUAUUCCCAUAUCAUAUUGGGGCCAUAAAUUUUUUUUGAAGAACAAGGAAAUCAUAAUAAAUUAUGUCUUUAUUUCACACAUGUUGAAUGCAUCAAAAUUCUUACUAUUCUCACAUUUCAUUCUUGUAGCAUCUUUGAUUAUUUUGAUACUUUAUGAAACAUUGAAAUACUUAUAAUUUGACAUUUUGGAUUCCUUGUUUGGAGUGAUUCUAAUUAAAACAUUUUUUGUUUGUAGAGUUUCUAUUAGAAAUGUUUCUAAAAAGAUUACUGUGAAUUUAUCUUGUAUUUUAAAAAUUACUUUUAAUUUUUUAAAAAUUUGAGUUAUGAAACAUUUUUAAUAUCUUAAUUUUUUUAACUAGAUUUUAAACAAGCAUUAUUAUGAAAAAAAUAUAUGCAAGCAAAAAUUUUGCAUUAAAAUUAAUUAUUGGAUACCGUCUUUGUAGUGGUAUUCUCUACAAAAGAAUAUCCUUCUGUUAUUUUAUAAGAGAAAUUAUGUUAUUUUUUUAAAAAAAGCCCAAGCCUUGAUGAUACAGGUUUAAGGAAGGAAUACCUCAAUCGACAAAUUUAAGGAUGACUUUUUCAAAUUAAUAAAGGAAAGAUGAUUGAAAUUAUUGUCAAAAUACUUUUUCUCCUUCAAGCACUUGAAGAUGAAGAUGAUUAUGAGAAGGCCUUCUUCUCGUCCUUCUGGUACGCAGAUGCUUUCUCUCCUUGCUCAUUUCUUGUCUUUGUCACAUAAUAGAUUUCAUUCCAAAUCCCUACAUUUUAAUACCAUUGACGGUGCCAUCUCGUCAUUUAAUCGAAUGCUUCGUAUGCAACCUCCUCCCUCCACUGUUGAUUUUAAUAAACUUUUAACCUCCAUUGCUAAAAUGAAACACCACUCCACUCUGCUUUCUCUUUCUCACCAAAUGGAUUCUUUUGGAAUUCCCCCCAAUAUUUACACCCUUCACAUCCUCAUUAACUCUUUUUGCCACUUGAAUCGGGUGGGUUUCGCUUUCUCCGUCUUAGCCAAAAUCCUCAAACUUGGGCAUCAACCCGACACUGCAACGUUCACCACUCUGAUUAGGGGGAUCUAUGUUGAGGGUAAAAUCGGUGAAGCCCUCCACUUGUUUGAUAAAAUGAUUGGGGAAGGUUUUCGACCCGAUGUAGUUACAUAUGGAACUCUGAUAAAUGGGUUGUGCAAAGUGGGCAACACUAGUGCCGCUAUCAGGUUACUUGGGAGCAUGGUGCAAAAAAAUUGUCAGCCUAAUGUAUUUGCUUAUAACACCAUUAUUGAUAGCCUUUGUAAGGAUAGACAAGUAACUGAGGCUUUCAACCUUUUCUCUGAGAUGGUCACUAAAGGCAUUUCACCUGAUAUUUUUACUUACAACUCAUUAAUCCACGCUCUUUGUAAUUUAUGUGAGUGGAAACAUGUCGCAACACUGUUGAACGAAAUGGUAGAUAGCAAGAUAAUGCCAGAUGUAGUUAGUUUUAAUACAGUGGUGGAUGCACUCUGUAAAGAAGGAAAGGUCACAGAGGCACAUGAUGUAGUCGACAAGAUGAUUCAAAGAGGUGUGGAGCCUAAUGUAGUCACCUACACUGCAUUGAUGGAUGGACACUGUCUGCUAUCUGAAAUGGAUGAGGCAGUUAAAGUAUUUGAUACGAUGGUUUGUAAGGGCUGUAUGCCUAAUGUUAUCAGCUAUAACACCUUAAUCAAUGGUUAUUGCAAGAUUCAAAGGAUAGAUAAGGCCAUGUAUCUCUUUGGAGAGAUGUGUCGACAAGAAUUGAUUCCUGACACUGUGACUUACAGCACUCUUAUACACGGCUUGUGCCAUGUGGAAAGACUCCAGGAUGCAAUAGCACUUUUUCAUGAGAUGGUAGCUUGCAGCCAAAUUCCAAAUCUUGUCACUUACCGAAUUUUAUUGGACUAUCUAUGCAAAAAUCGUUAUCUUGCUGAAGCUAUGGCUUUGCUGAAAGCUAUUGAAGGUAGUAAUUUGGAUCCUGAUAUACAAGUUAAUAAUAUUGCCAUUGAUGGGAUGUGUAGAGCUGGUGAACUUGAAGCUGCAAGGGACCUGUUUUCCAAUCUCUCCUCCAAAGGAUUGCAGCCUGAUGUUUGGACUUAUAGUAUAAUGAUCAAUGGGCUAUGUAGAAGAGGGUUAUUAGAUGAGGCAAGUAAGUUAUUUAGGGAAAUGGAUGAGAAUGGUUGCACACUGAAUGGUUGCAUUUACAAUACAAUUACCCGGGGAUUUUUACGAAAUAAUGAGACAUCAAGAGCUAUUCAACUUCUUCAAGAAAUGGUUGCGAGGGGAUUUUCUGCUGAUGCAUCCACUAUGACCUUAUUCGUGAAAAUGUUGUCCGAUGAUGGAUUGGAUCAAUCUUUAAAACAAAUUCUACGUGAGUUUGUGCAGUAAAGAGUUAUGGUAUUCAUCAACUCUAGAUGUGGUAUUCUUAGGGGGUCCCACUUGUCUCUGUUGUUGUUAAUGCCUUUUGAUUGUAUCAACGAGUUUUUGCAAGCAAAAGAGUUGGAUUUAUGAAAAUGUCAUGGUGUUGCAAGAGAUAAUUCUAGUUAAUUGUAAUUUCUGUUGUUACCGUAUUUUUACCUGCCAUUGAUUUCCUUCCAAUUGGAUUUCAUUUAAUGGACCUUACAGUGAUUGUCUUUUGGAAAUGGUAUGAGCAAUGAUUCAUUGGUUAUUGCCACCAGUGUCACUUGAGGCACUUAGCUUUCAUACCUACCUUCUUAGUUAAUGAGGGGUGAAGAUGUAGCUGGGAAGACUAUUCUGGUGAUGAGGUUGGGAGUAUGGAUGUUUUGUUCAUUGAUGUGAUUUUUUUUCUUUUUUCCCUUUUACUUGUAGUGAUGUGUUUUUGUAUUUGUUCCAUUUUAGAAAAAAUCAAUAGGAGAAAGUGGGAAGCCUGUUUUCUUCUUUCUUUUGCUUAUUUCUUGUUCCCUCCCUGCAAUUGAAUCACCUAAUGUAGAGAUUUAUGCUAUUGUCAUCAAUGGCAUGUGCAGAGGUGCUGAACCUUAAUCUAUUUUUUUAUGAAUUUAUUUUUCAUGAAUUGAUAAUCUAAUUGAAUAAAACUUUUAUGGAAUUGAAGUUGAAAAUUUUCUCAGUGAGGUUAUAGUCCAAGGUUUAAAGCAAUAUUUGAAUGAUCAGAGAAAACUAAACUUAACUACUGUCAAGUUCAUUAUCAAAAGGUUUUGAAAUUUUGUAUAAUGAAAUUAUUUGUUAUGAAUUUAUAACGUAUUUGAAUAUAAUUUUUAUGAAAUUAUUUUAUCCAAAUAUUUAGAAUUUUGAUUUAAAUAUAUAUGUUAAGAAAAAACUGAACUUAACUGUUAUCAAGUCCAUUGUCAACAGGUUCCAAUUUCAAAAUGGUUUGGUUUUGUUUCAAAUUUCAAUAAACAUUAGAAUAAUGUCUGCAUUUUUUUUAGCUGCAACUUGGUAAAAUAUAAUAGCUUCAAUUGCAUUAGUAAAAUAAUAUCUUUAGAAUAUUAGCAUUUGACAUGACAUCCUUAAAUAAUAUGAAAAUAAAGUCUAUGUUAAGAAGUAAUACGAAAUGAUGGAUUUAACAUAGCUAGAUAAGUUUGGUAAUAUAAUUUUACUCAAUUUAUAUUGAUAUUUUUACAAUUUGUUAUUAUCUUGCAGAUUGACAUUCCUUAUCCUCUCCUAUAUUUUAUAUCUAAAAUACUUAAAGAGGAGUACUUUCCUAGAAAAAUUGCAUGUUUGUCUCACUUGGUAGCCAUUGAAAAUAUUAAGAAGAAAUUGACUAAACCACAAUUGGAGAUGUUUAGAAAAUCAUGUUCUAGUCAUUUUUUACUUUUUCUCGAACUUAGAUUUUCAGCCCAAAUUGUUCAUCAAUUGUUGUUACGCCAAUGUGAAACCAAAAAGACAAUGAAAUAUGGAUUUUAUUAAAGUCAAAGGGCUUAAGAUUUAGUAAAGAAAAGUUUGCAUUGAUUAGAAGCUUGAGUUUUGGUCCUAUUCCAAAAUGCAACUAAAAAUCAUUACUAAAAAGGGACACAUACUUUAAAGGAGAAAACAGGGUGCGUAAUAAUGAGUUGGAGAAAGUUUUCUUUUCUUUAGGAGAGGUAAAAAAAAAAUAAUAAGAAAAAAAAUAAUCUGAAGAUGAAGAGGUGAUAAAGUUGGCACUUUUGUAUUUUUUAAAGCAUGUUUUAUUUGGGAAAAAAAGGAAAAUUUUAAUAAAUAUGGAAUGGGUUGCUUUGGUUGAUAAUUUGGAGGCUUUUAACAAGUAUUUAUGGGAGGGAUUUGUUAUGAGAGGACACUAUUUGGUUUGCAAAGAGCUUUGGAGAACCGGGUAUCUAAAUACCAAGAGAAGAAGAAAGCAAAGGGAGAAGUUGUAGUUAAAGCAUAUAGUCUUGUUAGAUUUCCGUAUGCCUUCCAAGUUUGGGCAUACGAGGCUAUUCCACUUAUUGGAUUGAAAUAUGUCAGUCAUGUAUCUGGGAGCUAUCCCCAAAUAUUAAAUUGGAGUGCAACUAGUGCUCCAAGGUCUAUUAAGGUUGAAAAGGUAUUUCUAGAGCCUAAUGCAAGUAAUUCUUUACCUUUAAAUUUUACGAGUGCAAUUAUAAAUAUUAUUGUAUUAUUGUUUAUUAAUAAUUAUAUUUUAUUUGGAUUUUGUAGUUAACUUUUCAUUCACUCCUAACACCCACUUUAGAGGAGCAAUAACAAGAUUAUUGCAAGCAUGUAGAUAAACAAGGAGCUUCAGCAGAAAUGUUGCACCAAUCAAAUACCUCACAAGAUGCCAAGAAGGAUGACUUAAGGCAUGAAAAAAGCUCAUUUGACACUGCUACAUAUGUUGUUGCUGCUACUGCUACAAUGGCAGAAGAAACAACAAAUGAUGCAGUUGCCCCAUCAAUAGAGGUAACUUAACCUAAACUUAGCCAUUAUAAAUAAUGCAUGCAUGUUUUUUUUUUGAACUUUAUUUAAUAUAAGAUGUUCACUCCAUAAUUAACAUGUGGAACUUGACCUUGACUAGUGUUAAGUUCAUUAUAAAUAAACUUAUGGGAAGUUAAGUCUGCAAGGAUCAUGAAAAAACCUAAAUUUAACAAGUGUGUUAUUUCAAAGUGAACAAACUUGUCAUAUAUAUAUAUGUGCAAUAUGUGCAAAAAUUAUGGAUGGAGUUUGUGAAAUUCAGAUAAAGCUCAGAGUUAAAUUUCAAUCAUCUAAAGAAAGAAAUUAAAAGACUCAACUUGAAGAUGGAUGAAUUGAAACAACUUUUCUUAGAAGUUAGUGACAUGUUUACUAUGUUUAUAUUUUCUAAUACUUCAAUGUUUUGACAUUUGUGUUUUAUUGUAUUUAUUAUUAUUGGGUGGUGUAUGCAAUUUCAGGUUAAGAGUUCGAAUGAGGAACAUGUUAUGCAUGACACUAGAUUAAAAAAAUCUAGUACAAAGGAAAAUGACAACAAUAUGGGCUUUGAUUUCCAGACUAGAAUUUUUUAGGAUGUUAUAAAUGAUGAAGUGGAGAGGAAUGACAUUCCCAUGGAUGUGAACAUUGGCAUGGAAGCUUCUAGAAACCUUCAGCUUGUAGAAAAACACAUGACUAAAGAGUUGAAAGAUGAUUACUCUAAUGAUGAUCCGGUUAUUGAUAUUGUCAAGUUGUUUGGUACCCCAACUAUGUCGAGUGAGUUUUCAGUAUAUGUCAUACCUUACCAUCUAUCUCCUACCAUUUUUAAGUGAAGACAUGAGAUUAAAAAAUCUCGUAUUUUGCAGCACCCUUUUACAGAUCCCACCAAGAGAAAGAAACUAAGAAAAGAGAUUGAAGAAUCAUUAACUUUAUUUGGUCUUUUGCGUCCAACCUCUGAAGAAGCAUUAGAGUCCUUUCGAAAGUGGAUGAGUGAUGACCAAGGGUGAGUUGCAUAUAUCCAUACUUGUAAAUUUGUGUUCUUCACAAGUUAUAAAAUUACUAAUGUUUUUUUUUGCUUUGAUGUCAAAGGUCCACAAUUGAUAUUGACUACAUGCAUAUAGAUAAAAAAUGGUUUCAAUCACUGUCUAAUCAUGGUUCAUGGCUUGCUGACAUGGUUUGUAAAUGAUGCAUUUUGUUUUUAUUUUUAUUUAUUAUUAUGUUCAACUUACAACCAAAUAAUAUAACUAAUUUACUUUAUUGUAAUUGUUAGCACAUUGAUGUUGCCUUCUUUUUUUCUUGGAAACGACGAAUAGAAAAUCCUCAUAUUUUUUCCCAAAAGUUUACCACAGUGGAUACUAUGUUUUGGGUAUGUGUAGUUUGAAUUUUAGUUAUCAUUUUUAAUUUGUUAUAAUAAUGAAUCUUAUAAUCUUGGUUAUUUAUUUAUGCAUGUUAACUUUAUUCUAUGUAGCAAAAUACUCAAGCAAGAUGGAUUAAGCAUGAUAAGAAAUGGAACCAAUUCAAAUUACCAAAUAAUGACAUUCUUAUUGAUUAUGCUAAUGGUACGCAACCUCUUUAUUCUAUCAAAUGGCCUGAUGUUGACAUUAUGCAUGUUCCCAUCAAUGUUCGGGCUAGUCACUGGGUAUUAGGAGUUGUCCACAUUCGUCGAGGGAUUAUAUAUGUAUAUGACUCAUUGAUGGACAUCAAUAAUAAUGCAAGAUUGCAAGUUACCAUUAAACCAUUUGCCAAAUUGUUGCUGCAUAUAUUGAAUGUCAUAACAUAUUAUGGGUUUCAUGGUGACACAAAAGUUAACUACCAGGAAUAGGAAAUUAAACGAUUGCAAGAUAUUCCUCAACAGGAACAUGAGUAAGUGAUCUUAAAUUUACUUUCAUAUCUUAUACACUUAAUAUUUAAUAAUAACUCUAACAUUGAUUAUCUGUGUACCAUGCAGUGGUGACUGUGGCAUGUUUGUUGUCAAAUAUGUUGAAUACUUAAAUGUACAACCAUCCAUUGAAGUCAUUAACAAGUGCUCGAAUGGAUUGGUUUAGGGAAAAGAUGGUAGUAGAGUUAUUUUUUAUGAAAUACUUGCCUAUGUAAUGAAUUCAUGUUGAUAGUUCAUAUUUUGAUAAUGUAGUUGGAUGGUUUGUUAUAUGUAAUCGAAUUGCUUGAUAUAUGUAGUUAGACAUUUUGAUAAAUGUAGUUGGACAACUUGAUAUAUAUACUUGGAUAUUUUGAUGAAUGUAGUUCGAUAGUUAUGUAUACAAUUGACUUUUUAAGCUAAACUUGAUUGUUGUCAAGUUGUUUUGUCUACAAACUUGAAGGUAGUUAAGUCCACAGUCUUAAUAAAACACCUGAAUUUAACUAUUAUCAAGUUAACUAUGAACAAACUUAAAAGAUAUUAAGUCGAAGUCUAUUCCAAAAUAACAUAUUUAAUCUGGACUUAACAGGUAUCAAGUUGAUCUUGUAUAGACUCAUAGGAAGUUGUGUCUACAGUUGCCAUUUUAACCUGAACUUAACUAUUUUCAAGUUGUUUAAUGAACAAACUUGAAGGUAGUUAAGUCUACAGUCUUCAGACAAAACCUGAACUUAACUAUUGUCAAGUUGUUUUAUGUACAAACUUGAAGGUAGUUAAGUCUAUAGUCUUUAAACAAAACCUGAACUUAACUAUUGUCAAGUUGUUUUAUAUACAAACUUGAAGGUAGUUAAGUCCACAGUCUUUAGACAAAGCCUGAACUUAACUAUUUUCAAGUUGUUUUGUGCACAAACUUGAAGAUGGUUAAGUCAACAGUCUUUAGACAAAACUUGAACUUAACUAUUGUCAAGUUGUUUUAUGUACAAACUUAAAAGUAGUUAAGUCCAUAGUCUUCAUACAAAACCUAAACUUAUCUAUUGUCAAGUUCCUUAUCAAUAAACUUGAAGAUAGUUGAGUCCAUAGUUUGAGAAUAAACACACAAUUUUCAUUCAUACUUUAUACAUAACUCAUCAUAAUAUAUAUGUACAAAAGUAACAAAUAUCUUCAUUUCUAUGGGUAUGCAAAAAAAAAGGAUCAUUAUUACAGUAUUCAUCUAUGUGCUUAUCCUAUCACCUUAUACAAAAAAGUAACUUACAUUUCUGUUCACAUGGGUACCAAAAAAACAAAAAAGCUCACUAUUAUAAUUUUCAUUCUAUGUAAGUUCAUAGAAUGCCAAAGCUAUCAUGAUAUCAAGGGAUUGAUCGUUUGCAUGUUUUCCGAUUAUGCCCAUAUUGACCACAUCGACUACAACGAGAUGUGCGCUUACCCUUUUCACCAGAAGGAAUUCUUACUUUCCUUGGUCUUCUUAUUGGGGGUUUUAUUUUAGGUGGUAACACAACUUUGUUACGAAUGUAAUAAGGUAUUACCCAAUCUAUUUCAUUUCCAGUUGGAUAAAUACACUCUGAAUAUGAAGAUAACAAUGCUUUAGUAGUAAAAUACUGGGAGCACAAAGUGUAACAUGAAAUGUUGUAAAAUCUACAAGCAGCAAUAACAUGUGCACAUGGAAUAUGAUCAAGAUCAAAUUGACGACAUGUGCAUGAAUGAGUGUCUAAAUUCACUUGAGCACUAAUGCCAAUAUAUUUAACAUUACACUACUUGGAGUUGAUAGGUUCCAUUAGAUAUGUUGCUGACAUAUUAUACCUUGAACGAAGUUCUCCAUCAGCCCACAUGGUAAGUUAAGUUGACAUUAACAUUGCUUGUUGUUGACAAGUCACAAACCAUUUUUGAAGUAAGUUUCUCAAUUCUUUAACCAAUUGCAAAGCCGGAAGGUCUCUAGCAUUUUUCAACACAGCAUUAAGGCUUUCAACGAUCCUUGUCGUCAUGAUAUUAUUGUUAUCAGCUACACGUUCACCACUCUGAACAGGUCCAACACCUGACCAUGUCCUCCACCAACCAUCUCACUUCCCUACGGUUAAGGAGCAUGUUCUACAAACUGCUCAUAGUGGUGGCAAAUCAGAAGCAACGUGGUAUGAUGGGAAGUCACGUUAUAUAGAUCUCUCAUGGUCCCGAACUCGUCUCUCUGCUAUUUUUCCUUCAGUUAUACACCAUCUCAUAAGAGAGAUCAGAUCUUGGAAAUCUUAGACUUCACGAACUACAAUUCAGAAACAAUGGCUAGAGGUAAGUAGGUGAUCCUAAAUUUUUCAAAAAUGAUUUUUAUAGAUAAAGUUUCAUAUGCUUAGAUUGAAUAUAUUGCAUGAAAACUUCUUUUAUUUGGUAUUAGAGCAUCCUAAAUCUUAUCUUUGUCUUGUAUUGAUUUUUGCUUGAGAUACUUUGUUAUAUUUUAUGAUCUCUCAAUUACUACUUAAACAAUUGAAACACCCUUGCUUGGCAUGGGGAAUCUCUGCCCUUGAUGAUACCACAACUAAUGGUUCAUUGCUACUGCCACUGUAGUAUAAUUUUAAUAAAUCCGGCUCUGGAUGGUGAGCCUCCACCCAAUCUAUGAGUCAUGGCUUUAUAGAAAAGAACCCAUUUGCCAAACUUGGAGAUCGACUUCUCCUAAUUUCCCAAUUGAAAGCCACUGUCCGACGACUUUUCGAUAGAAAUACUGCACCAUUUCCGAAGUGGGUCUGCCUCCGGUACCUCCAUUUCUGAAGGUGACGAUGAUAAGGGCUAGUGAAGUAAUCUGGUGGGUGCGGUUUAAGAAGCCAUUGUGACUGUUCAUCGACCUCUAAAACAAUCACUCCCCUCCCCGCCCACCGUGCACAAUACCAGACCCACUACUCCACGCCACAGGCCUUCAUGGUAUCGAUAUAGGCUUGGAAGGGCUCGCGGGCAAACUCUCGUGGAGCUCACAUAGAGGCGGGGAUGAAGGAAUCGGGGCUGCACUUCUGCGGAAGCACCUCGACCCAAUUGUGGUGACUGUUGAUGCUGUCGCAACCAACCAUAUUGAUCUAGCUUGUGAUGGUGUCACGCAAAGCCUCCAUGGAGUGUUAUUGCUGCCCCUGGUAGAGACAAUGGUUGGGCUCGUGUUCGUAACACAAGGAGGUUGGCGGGAUGCAAAGUGGACUUCGUUUACCUAUGCGCUGGCUGCGAUGUUUGCCUACACGCCUCGCUGAAGCAUCGAUGGGGCUCUUUCUGCUAUGUGUUGUAGGCGGCUGCAUGGCUCCAAUGAUGGUGCAGUCUACGUGGGUGGCAACGAGCACGUCGCUACCGAUGAUGAAGCAGUCCACGGGGUGGCGGAAAAUAAGGAUGGUGGGUUUUAGUGCAAGUGUUAUUAAUUUGUUGAACCUAGAGGGAGAUUGGGUUCCACUAUUGUUUUGGGCCUUUAGAUAAAUUGUUGUUGGGCCCAUUAGGCUCAAUGCAUGUGCAAUGGCCUAUUUUUUUUUUUUUUUUUUUGUGCAAAAUAAGGGGCUUUAAGUGUUGGGCCAUGAGUUAAAUGAGAAAUUUGGGCCAGUUUAGGCCCUUUUGGCCCGAUUUGAAUUAUUUUUUAUUGGACUUCAAAUUUAUUGUGUUUUUAUAUGGAUUUGGGCACCCAAUCAUUAUCUGAAAUCCUUUCAAAUUAAUUCUAAAUUAUAUGUGUUUUUUAUACAUGAAAAUUAAAUUAUUUAUUUUAAUUUAUAUGUUUGUAUGUGUAAAAAUGUAGCCUAAAUUUGAGUUAGAUAAAUUAAAAGUUGUAGUUUUAAUUGCAUGCAAUUGUUGUCUAAAUUUGUGUUAGAUAUAUUAAAUUUAUAUCAUAUAGUUUUAAUGUCUAGUGAACCAUAUAAUUUUAAAUAAUUAAGGCAUAGCCAUAGCAUCCUUAAUUAUAUAAAAUUAUAUAUUAAGAAAAUAGGGAUCACAUUAUGGACAUUAAUUGUAAAUAUUAUGAUUUUACCCUAUAGGGAUUUCAUUAUGUUUAUAUAAUUAAUUAGGAUAAAAUAUUAAAAUUAAUUUUUCCUAAUUUAUCCACAUGAGUUAGGAAAAAUUAAUUUAAUAGGUUUAUCAUAAAGCUUAUAGGUAGAAAAUAUCAAACUAUAUUCAUAAUAAAUUUCAUAAAUUCAGUAAAAUAGUUUGAUAAAAUCUAUCAUAAAGAUAAUGAAUCUGAUUGAAUUAAAGAUUUAGCCCACAUGCAAUUUUUAAUAAAAUUAUAUUCAAUUUUUAAGUGUGUUCUACAUUGGUAAAACAUGAAUUUAAAUUAAAGCCUCAAAGUUUUAUAAGCUUGUAAUCUUUUUGUGCAAUUUUACCUAGCAUAUUUGAUAUUCGUUGUGAGGUUCCCAAACACAGGGGAGAUGAUUACUAUUAAAAAAGAGCAUAUUUUAGAUAAUAAUUCUCAUGAGUUUCACGUCUUUUGAGUAGUAAGUAUGCCUAAAAUACUCAAUUAACAUGUUGUUGCCCUUGCAAGAGUUACUAACAAGUUUUCUGAAGUUUUGGAGUCAUUUCAAGGUAUGUUUUUGAUAAAUUGGUGACAAAAGAAAUGAAUCAAAUUGAAGAAAAUAAAUAAAGUUGAUGAUGAUCCAAACACAUAAUGAAAAAAGCAAUGCAGUCGGUUUGGAUCGGGAUUUGGAGUUGAUUUGGAGGUAGUUGAAGUGGAAUCAAGAGAAAGAAAUGGGAGAAAUUGCAAAGAGGAGUCGAAAAAAACAUGUUUUUCAAUUUCGCAUGGUCAUGUGAAAUGAAACAGAAUAGGCUUGGUUGCAGCACAUAAGGGAAAUGUGAAAAGUGGUUUCGCAUUACCAUGCGAAAUUUUUGCACAGUCAUGCAAAAUGCUCCAGCAAGACGAAAAUGCAGCUGAUGGAUUUUCCACUUCACAUCAUCAUGCGAAAUUGCUAGGGGCUCGUGCCAAAAUGUAUUUUCUCCAGGUUCCUUGAUGAAGAAGCCUCCGGAAGACCUCUUAGAUGAUGCCAAGUGUCCACUUAACCUUGGCCUAUAAAUAGAAACGUGAUUGACUCAUUUAAAGACUUUUGAUACAUUUUCUAAUUGUAAAACUUUUCAUAUUUCUUUUCUCUAUAUAAUUAUCUACUUUCCUUCAUUUUCUCGGUAGCCAAACAUGUCUUGUGAGAUCAAAUCUCCAAGCAUGAGUGGCUAAAUCUCGUUUUUCUCGGAGUAUGGAGAAUCUAGAGGUAAGAUCUAUGGUGAAUGAGAGAAUUGAGCUUGAAUUGCAAAGGUAAUUUGAUCCAAUUGAUUGAUUAAUUGAAAUUUGGGGAUUUUUUUGUUCAAAUUGUCUUGGAUGAUUACUACAAUGCAAGCUAGGUAGAUUAAUUAAAUUCUUAAUGCUAGAUUUAAUGAGAUUGAAUAGUUGCUUUGUGUGAAUCAUUGGAAGAUAAUUUAAGAUGAAUUGAAUAUAUGAUUCCAAUUGAUCUCUUAGAUUAGAUUACCUAAUUUGAAGAGAAAUUAGAUCUAGACCUAAAGCUAAAUCAAAAAUCGGUUUAGAUGAAAAUUUAGGUUUUCAAUCUAACUUGAUGAAAAUUAGAUCUCAACACUUAUUCACCAUGGAAAUUGCUUUCUAGAAAAUCCUAACUCAGAGAAUCUCACAUCUUAUUAAUUUUCUUCUCUUUUACACUUCAUUUUCCUUUCAAUUUGAAUACAUUGUUAUCUUGAGAUUUUAUCAUGCAAUUUCAAGUCAAUUUCAAUUUAUCACAAUCAUUUCUUAUCAUCUCAUUCAAGCUUUAAUUACCGAGAAUAAUCUAUCCUUGUGGACAAUACCUAAAUACCACUAUACUACAAUAGUUUGUACUAAACCCACUUUUUGAUCGGGUACAAAUUGCUAUAGAAUAGUGAAUUAGGUUAUAAAUUUUGUUUUGAUCCAACAAACGACAAAAUCUGAGCGAUCAGGAGAUAACUUUAAGAUAUGGAAUGAGAGAAUUAUUCUUCAAUUAGGGUACAUGGACAUAGACUAUGCCAUAAGAAAAGAUGAACCACAUAAGAUCACUGAUACCAGCAAACUUGAUGAAAUUCUAUUGUACAAAUGCUGGGAGAAAUCUAAUUGCCAUAACGUGAUGUACAUUAAGACAAAAAUUAGUGUUGGUAUACAUAGUUCAAUCGAGCAACAUGAGAAUGUCCGUUUGACGAGCAAUUCGUCACUUCAGAUAAAGCCUUGGCAAGCACCCUAAUUAUGAAGUUCACAUCCCUAAAACUCACCGGUAUAAAAGGUGUACGCGAACAUAUCAUGGAGAUGAGAGAUAUAGUGGCUCAAUUAAAGAAGCUCGAGGUAGAAAUGUCUGAAUCCUUCUUGGUACACUUUAUCCUUAACACUCUUCCACCUUAGUAUGGACCUUUCAAAAUCUCUUACAACACACAUAAGGAUAAGUGGUCUAUCAAUGAAUUGAUGACCAUGUGUGUUCAAGAGUAAGGAAGGUUAAUGAUGGAAUAAGGAGAAAGUGUCAUGCUAGUGACUCAAAAGAAAGGAAAGAAAGGAAAAUCUUAAGCCAGUCAGAAAGGGAAGCAACAAAUUCCUCCCAAAUCUGACAUUAAGAAAAAUGAAAAAUGUUUUUUUUGUAAAAAGAAAGGACACGUGAAGAAGAAAUGUCCGAAAUUCCAGAAAUGGCUUGAGAAGAAAGGUAAUCUUACCUCAUUUGUUUGUUAUGAAUCUAAUAUGAUUAAUGUAAAUACCAACACAUGGUGGAUUGAUUAUGGAUCUACAAUCUACAUUUCAAAUUCCUUGCAGGGUAUGCAAAACCUAAGGAAGCCAAUGAGAAGUGAGCAAUUCAUCUUAUUCGGAAACAAGAUGGGCUUGCAUGUGGAAGAGAUAAGGACAUGUUAUUUAACUUUUAAUGAUGGUUUUGUUUUGGAAUUGCAAAGGACCUUUUAUGUACCAAGUUUCUCACGAAACUUGAUUUCAAUUUCUAGACUUGUACCGUUUGGAUAUUCCUUUCAUUUUUCAGAAACAUCUUUCAGUUUGAUUUAUAAAUCUGAUUGUGUUGGGAAUGGUAUUUUGUCUGAUGGUCAUUAUUGCAUAUUCUUACAAAAUGAUAUCACUCAUAAUUCAUUACAUGUCCAAACUGGCAUUAAGAGAUAUGUUGUAAAUAAGGAUUCCUCUACAUCGUGGCACCGGAGAUUAAGUCAUAUCUCCAUAGAUAGAAUCAAAAGGUUGGUGAAUGAUGGGUACUUAGUACUCUAGAUUUUACUGACUUUGAGACUUGUGUGGACUGCAUUAAGGGAAAGCAAACCAACAAGUCAAAGAGAGGUGCUACUAGGAGUUCCGCCAUACUAGAGAUCAUACAUACUAAUAUAUGUAGUCUUGACAUGGACUCUCAUGGUCAGAAAUACUUCAUCACUUUCAUAGAUGAUUUCUCAUGAUACAUGUAUUUCUACAUACUUCAUAACAAAAAUGAAGCAUUAGAUGUCUUUAAAGUUUUCAAGGUAGAAGUAGAGAAACAAUGUGGUAAACAAAUUAAGAUCGUGAGAUCAGAUAGAUGUGGAGAAUAUUAUGGUAGAUACUUGGAAUAUGGACAAACACCUGGGCCAUUUGCGAAGUUUCUUCAAGAGCAUGGGAUUGUUGCCCAAUACACCAUGCUUGGUUCUCCAUACCAAAAUGGUGUAGCAGAAAGAAGAAACCGAACUUUAUUAGACAUGGUGAGGAGUAUGCUUAGCAGUUUAAAAAUUUCUAAAUUAUUAUGGACUGAAGCACUUAAAAUAGCAGUGUAUAUAUUAAAUCGAGUUCCAACCAACGUUGUCCCAAAGACGCCAUUUGAGUUAUGGAAAGAUUAGAAAUCAAGUUUGCAACAUAUGCACGUUUGGGGAUGCUCGUCUGAAGUGAGAAUUUAUAAUCCAUAAGAAAAGAAACUGGACCCAAGGACUAUUAGUGGGUAUUUCAUUGGAUAUGCUGAAAAGUCUAAGGGAUACAUAUUUUAUUGUCCAUCUCACAGCACUAGGAUUGUGGAAUCAAGAAAUGCUAAAUUUCUUGAAUAUGACUUGGUCAGUGGGAGCGAUCAAUUUAGAAACAUAGUUUUUGAUAUUGAUCACACAUAGUCUUAACUUUCCACUUCAAGUGAUAGAUUGUUUGUUGGUCAUAACACCCCCUCAAGUUCAAACGGGUGUAGAACGAACAAUUGCUGAAGUUCAACCAGUCAUUGAAGUUCCACAAGUUAUUGACAACAUUUCAAUAGAUCAAGUCGAUCAAGAGUUGCCUGACACUUCUAAACAACAAGUUGAACCUCAUGCUUCUCUAGAAGAUAAUGGUGCAACCUUAAGAAGGUCUACUCGAACUAAGAGGUCAACAAUUCCUAGUGAUUAUGUAGUGUAUCUAUAAGAAUUUGACUACAAUAUAGGAGCCGAAAAUGAUCCUGAAUCAUUUUCACAAGCCAUGAGUUGCAAAGAAUCGGAAUUGUGGUACAAUGCCAUGAAAGAUGAGAUGAGUUCCAUGAAAUGCAACAAUGUUUGGGACCUUGUUGAGUUGCCUAAUGGUGUAAAAGCCAUUGGCAGUAAAUGGGUUUUUAAGACAAAGAAAGACUCAUUAGGCAACAUUGAGAGAUACAAGGCUAGAUUUGUUGCAAAGGGGUUCACUCAGAAAGAAUGAAUCGAUUACAGGGAAACCUUUUCUCCUAUAUCUAAGAAAGAUUCCUUGCGUAUUAUAUUGACAUUAGUAGCCCACUUUGAUUUGGAAUUUCAAAAAAUGGAUGUGAAAACAACAUUUCUUAAUGGAGAGCUAGAAGAGGAAGUUUACAUGAAACAACUUGAAGGAUUCCCCUCUAGUGAUGGUAAGCAAUUGGUUUGCAAGCUUAAGAAAUCCAUAUACUGUUUAAAACAAGCAUCCUACCAAUGGUAUUUAAAAUUCCAUAACAUAAUUUCUUCAUUUGGUUUUGUAGAAAAUGUUAUAGAUCAAUGCAUAUACUUUAAGGUCAGUGGGAGUAAAGUUUGUUUUCUUGUUUUAUACGUGGAUGACAUCUUACUUGCAACCAAUGAUAAGGGUUUACUUCAUGAGGUGAAACAAUUCCUCUCUAAAAAUUUUGACAUGAAAGAUAUGGGUGAGGCAUCUUAUGUCAUUGACAUUAAGAUCCAUAGAGACAAAUUUCAAGGUAUCUUAGGUCUGUCUCAGGAAACCUAUAUCAAUAAAGUUUUAGAGAGAUUUUGGAUGAAAGAUUGUUCACCUAGUGUUUCCCCUAUAGUGAAGGGAGAUAGGUUCAAUCUGAACCAAUGCUAGAAAAAUGAUCUUGAGAGGGAACAAAUGAAGAAUAUUCCAUAUGCUUCUGCAGUCGGAAGUUUGAUGUAUGCUCAGGUCUGCACAAGGCCUGACAUUACAUUUGUUGUUGGAAUGUUAGGAUGAUAUAAAAGUAACCCAGGUUUGGACCACUGGAAAGCUAUAAAGAAAGUGAUGAGAUAUCUUCAAGGAACCAAAUAUUACAAGCUUAUGUACAGACGAACAAACAAUUUAGAGGUUGUUGGCUACUCAGAUUCAAACUUUGCUGGCUAUGUUGAUUUGCGUAAAUCAACAUCUGGAUACAUUUUUAUAUUGGCUGGUAGAGCUAUAUCUUGGAGGAGUGUUAAGCAGAUCUUGACUGCUACUUCUACUAUGGAAGCUGAGUUCAUAUCUUGUUUUAAGGCUACUUCACAUGGUGUAUGGCUUUAAAGUUUCAUUUUCGGGCUUAGAGUUAUGGAUUCAAUAUCUAGGCCAUUAAGUAUAUAUUGCGACAAUUCAGUUGUAGUCGUUAUGGCGAAGAACAAUAAAAGUGGAAGUCAAAGCAAGCACAUCAACAUUAAGUAUCUAGCCAUAAGAGAACGUGUUAAAGAAAAAAAAGUGGUUAUUGAGCACAUUAGCAUUGAAUUGAUGAUCGUUGAUCCUUUGACUAAGGGCAUGCCACUGUUGAAAUUCAAGGAUCAUGUAGUGAACAUGGGACUUAGUUCCCUUAUAUAGUUUCUAUUGUACAAACUCUUCUUAUGAUGUUUUCUCAUAUUGAUGUGCACCUUUACUUAAUUUUGAGAAAAUUUAACUUCAUUGGACCAAGAAUGAACAUAGGGUUUAUUCAUUAAGUAAUAUUGCCACAUAAAGUAUAAUGUUAAUAAAUAAAUACACUGUAAUACAUGGAAGGUAACACUUGUUAUAUAGAGGAAUUAUCGCCAUGAUCCAUGUAUUUGUUACUUAAUGCGGAUAAUUGAUGGACUAAGAUAGGACAUUAGGUUAAAGGUGUGGACCAAGUAGGAGAAUGUUAUCAGCUACACGUUCACCACUUUGAACUGGUCCAACACCUGACCAUGUCCUUCACCAACCAUCUCACUUCCCUACGGUUAAGGAGUAUGUUCUACAAACUACUCAUAAUGGUGGCAAAUCAAAAGCAACGUGGUAUGAUGGGAAGCCACGUUAUAUAGAUCUCUCAUGGUCCUGAACUCGUCUCUCUGUCGUUUUUUCUUCAGUUAUACACCAUCUCAUAAGAGAGAUCAGAGUUUGGAAAUCUAAGACUUCACCAACUACAAUUCAGAAACAAUGGCUGGAGGUAAGUAGAUGAUCUUAAAUUUUUCAAAAAUUAUUUUUAUAGCAGAAGUUUCAUAUGCUUGGAUUGAAUAUAUUACAAGAAAACUUCUUUCAAUUAUAUUUUUUUCCGAUAAAACAUGAACGUGCCCAUCGAUCAACUCCUAUGUCCAUCAAAUAUCUUACUACUCUUAGGUUAAUCAUCUCUAGUUGCCCAAAGAUAAAAUUAAACUUUGAAACACAAUAAGCAUGGGUAGCAUCAUGGAACAACUUAUGAAUUAUAGGAUUCUUGAACUUUGUUUUCAAAUUUUAUCUAAUGUGAUAAGUGCAGACACCAUGCCUAGCAUGGGGAAAUACUUUAUGUACUACUUUCUCAAUGCUACCAUGUCGAUCUGAUAUCACAAACAAAUCAUCAAUGUGUUCAAUUGCAUCAUGCAAUUUUUGUAAAAAUCACUCCCAUGAGGCUUCAUUUUUUGAAUCACCAAUCCCAAAGGCUAAAGGGUACAUUUGAUUGUUGUCAUCUUUACACGCUGCAAUAAAUAAAGUCCUUAAGUAUUUUGCUUUAAAAAAUGUCCCAUCAACUGCAACCACAGGCUUUAUUGAUGUGUGAAACAAAAGAUGCACCAAUCGACAUAAAAAGUAUUUGAACUGAUUAUCAUGAUCAGUAACUAUAUCAAUAAUGAUACCAGGAUUUUUUUGCUCUAAAACAUAGCAAUAGGAUGGUAAAGUGUUAUAAGACUCCUUAGGUGAUCCCCUAAUAGAACCUAGAGCAAGUUCUCUGGCUUUCCACAUCUUAUCAUAAUUGAUUUGAAUGUCAUACUGCUUUUGAAUGUCUAUUACAAUGUCUUUUGGUCGAAAUUCACAACCAACCUCUUGAUAUGUUUCUCUUAUACUCUCACCAAUCAACCAACUACUUGCAUGUCGAUUGUCACGAGACAUCAUAUCUAACCAACAAGUGUGUGUUGAAUAGUAUUUCAUUAUUUGAAACAUAUUGAAAAUCCCCAACUUGGUAGCACGAACUCGCCACUUGCAUUCUUAUCAAAACAUUCAACAAGCAAUAAUUUAGUAGUGGAUUUAGUUGUUUUGAACUCAAACUUCAUUUUGAGAGCCAUCAUAUAUAACUUCCUUUGUAAUUCUUUCUUACUUGAGUAUAUUUGGAGUUCUUCUAGAUGGUCAUCACUAAUUCCACUAACUAUAGUUUGUUGCAUCAUGUUUUGUCCUUCAUGUGCUACACCUUCAAUUAUAGUGGGAUUGUCAUGCAUGAAACCAUCAUUUGUAUCAAUCAUGGUCAAGAUUUUUGCACUCUAAGCUGAACCAGUUUUGAAUGAGCCAAUUUGGGUCACUUGCUUAUCAUUAGUAGGGUUAGUGUCCAUUCUAUAAUCCUCCCCAUUAAUUGUAGUCUCAUUCAUGUUCCAAUCAUGAACUUUAUACCCUUCAAGUGACUCAUUUUGAAAUCUUGGUCCAUUUUCACCAUCAACAGUAAGAGUUUCAACUAACUCACAAUGAAUGUGUCUACUUUUAUGUAUCAACAUUGAGUCAUCGUUCAAUUCUUUAUCAAUCUCAGAAGACAUAUGAUAUUUGAAAUAAGAAUUGCAAAUUGAUUUCUGACUGUGAUUAUCAAUUCUCUUUUCAACUGUGAUGCACAAUGGAAUAGGCAUCUUACCAUUUGUACAAUUUAAACCAAUAAAGAAUUUCACAUCCCCAUCAUCGGUUAGUUGUAUAGGACUUGUGGGUAUGUUGGCAUUGAAUACAUAUUUCAUAGAAAAAAAACAAUUCGUUGGAUCUAGCUUCAGAAUAUGAUGGACAACCCCUAAUAACUCUUUAUAUGAUAUGGUUUUCAGGACCUCAAUGUCUUUACCUAUACUUCCUUCGAAAUAGAAAGCAUUUCCAUCUCGAACCCAUUCUCCUUCAAAUAAAAGCAUUAUUCCUACUUCAUCAACCAUUGAAAUAACAAAAUAAUUCAAUUAUUGGCAUCAACAUACAAUAUUAGAAUAUUUUUUUAGUUACAUCAUAGCAUUACCAUCAAUAAGUAGGUAUUAAUUUUAAAAAACUCAUUCAUUAUUAAAUACAUAUUAUUUCAUUACACAUAUUUAUUUUUUUAAUAAACAACAAAUAAAUAAUAUUAUUAAUCAUCUUUACUACCUCAAAUAAUACCAAUAAUGCUAUAGAAAUACAAUGUAUAUAGUUAUUAAAUAAAUUCAGAUAUUGUAACUCUCAACUAUUUUAAACAAUAAAAAUAUAUUUAUUUACUAAAAGAUUGGUUAUGUUGUAAUUCAUUUAAUGUCAAGAGUAAUUUGCAAAUGAUUCAACUCAAAUUGAGUAUAACUAAAUAAAAUAACAGUAAUAUAAUGUUACUAUAAAGUAACUAUAUAUAAUCUUAACUUACAUCAAGUUCAACUUAACAGACGUCAAGUUCAACUUAAUAUCCGUAAGGUUUUGGUAUAUAACUAAAAAAGAUAACUUUAUAUAUUAUAUCAAAACCCUAUUAACACAUAUAUUUACAUCUAUAUAAAGAAUAAAUAUGCAAACAAUACCAAAACCAUUAUAAAAUUCCAUAAGUUUUAUUACUUACCAUCAUUUGAUUUUUUCAUAUGGACAAUGUUUCUCUACACUACACUUUUAAGCUGAUUGUUUCCUUCUUUUAACCCAUUUUUUCAUGGCUAUAAAUGAUAUUAAAAAAUUAUAACAAUUUCAAACUUAUUUAAAUAUUUACUACAUCUCAUUAAAUGUUUGAAAAUAUUCAAUAAAUAAAACAUGAAAGAAAAAAAUAAAAUAAAUGUACACUAUUUAUCAAGUCAUAACUUUAAGCACUGUUUAUCCAAUGACAACUUUAAACGCUUUAAGUUGAAGAAAUUUGAAGAGAAAGUAUGUGUGAAAUUUGAAGAAAUGUAUUGACAAAAGAGAAACGGGAAUAAUAGGAGAAAAAAAAAACGUGGAAGAAAGAAUAAAAAAGAGUUGAAAUGAGGGAAAUAAAAUUAGAAUAGAUGGGAAAAAGGAUUUGAUCCAGCUCAGGGGUAUUUUUGUCUAAAUUGGGUCAUUUUGGAGGCUAUUAAAAGUGUAGAGUUAGUUUUACAAUAUUGAGAUAUUUUUGCCCCUUUUAAUCAGUUAUCCCUAAAAUAAAUAUAAUAUAUGAUUUUAUUAUAAAAUUAUUAUUAAUGUUUUACUAAAAACUAUUUAUCUUUUAAUUUAUUUGUAAUUAUAAAACUUUUUUUUUUUAAUUUUAAUAAGACUUGAAUUAAGUUUAAUAAUAUUAUAUAAGUUGAAUAUUUAAUGUUUUUAUAAAAUCAAAACAAAAAAAAUUAUUUUUAAAAAAAACUUAUCCAAACAAAUUUUUUAUUUUUUAUUUUUAAAAACUAUGUUUAAAACCAACUUACCAAAUACCCUUAUUACCGGCUUUUACCUUCAAAAUGGCGUGAAGUUAGGACAAGGAGUCAAGCUGAAGCUGUACAAUUGAAAUCCCCGCGACGACGAUCAUGAUGAAGAUAAUGACAAGGGCGACAAUGGCUUCUUCUUCUCCUGGUUCCGGUACAUGCAUGCUUUCUCUUCCUCCCCAUUUCUUGUCUUCAUCACAAAAUAACUUUCAGUCGAAAUCCCUUCAUUUUAAUACCCUCGAUGAUGCCCUCUCUUCUUUUCAUCGAAUGCUUCAUAUGCAUCCUCCUCCCCCCAUCUUUGAAUUCGCUAAACUUUUAACCUCCAUCGCUAAAAUGAAACACUACUCCACUGUGCUUUCUCUUUCCAAGAAAAUGGAUUCUUUUGGAAUUCCACCUGAUGUUUACACUCUCACCAUCGUCAUCAACUCUUUCUGCCAUUUGAAUCGGGUGGACUUCGCUUUAUCCGUUUUAGCCAAAAUCCUCAAACUUGGGCAUCAACCCGACACCGCAACCUUCACCACUCUGGUUAGGGGGCUCUGUGUUGUGGGUAAAAUUGGUGAAGCCCUCGACGUGUUUGAUAAAAUGGUUGGGGAAGGUUUUCAACCCAAUGUAGUCACUUAUGGAACUCUGAUGAACGGGUUAUGCAAAGUGGGCAACACUAGUGCCGCCAUCAGGUUACUUAGGAGCAUGGUACAAAAAUGUUGUCAGCCUAAUUUAAUUGCUUAUAACACCAUCAUUGAUAGCCUUUGUAAGGAUAGACAACUAACUGAGGCUCUCAACCUUUUCUCUGAGAUGAUCGCUAAAGGCAUUUCACCUGAUAUUUUUACUUACAACUCAUUAAUUCACGCUCUGUGUAAUUUAUGUGAGUGGAAACAUGUCACAACACUGCUCAAUGAAAUGGUAAAGAGCAAGAUAAUGCCAAAUGUAGUUAGUUUAAAUAUAGUGGUGGAUGCACUCUGUAAAGAAGGAAAGGUCACAGAGGCACAUGAUGUAGUCGACAUGAUGAUUCAAGGAGGUGUGGAGCCUGAUGUAGUUACCUACGCUGCAUUGAUGGAUGGACACUGUUUGCGAUCUGAAAUGGACGAGGCAGUUAAAGUAUUUGAUAUGAUGGUUCGAAAUGGCUGUGUGUGUAAUGUUGUCAGCUAUAACACCUUAAUCAAUGGUUAUUGCAAGAUUCAAAGGAUAGAUAAGGCCAUGUAUCUCUUUGAAGAAAUGUGUCGACAAGAAUUGAUUCCUAACACCAUGACUUACAGCACUCUUAUACAUGGCUUGUGCCAUGUGGGAAGACUCCAGGAUGCAAUAGCACUUUUUAAUGAGAUGGUAGCUUGUGGCCAAAUUCCAAAUCUUGUUACUUACAGCAUUUUAUUGGACUAUCUAUGCAAAAAUCAUCGUCUUGCUGAAGCUAUGGCUUUGUUGAAAGCUAUUGAAGGCAGUAAUUUGGAUCCAGAUGUACAAGUUUAUAAUAUUGCCAUUGAUGGGAUGUGUAGAGCUGGUGACCUUGAAGCUGCAAGGGACCUCUUUUCUAAUCUUGCCCCCAGAGGUUUGCAGCCUGAUGUUUGGACUCAUAAUAUUAUGAUCCGUGGGCUUUGUAAAAGAGGGUUAUUAGAUGAGGCAAGUAAGUUAUUUAGGGAAAUGGAUGAGAAUGGUUGCUUGCGGAAUGGUUGCACUUACAAUACAAUUACCCAAGGACUUUUACAAAAUAAUAAGACAUCAAGAGCAAUUCAACUUCUUGAAGAAAUGCUUGCAAGGGGAUUUUCUGCUGAUGUGUCCACCACCGCAUUGUUGGUGAAAAUGUUAUCUGAUGAUGGAUUGGAUCAAUCUGUAAAACAAAUUCUAUGUGAGUUCAUGCGGUGAAGAGUUAUGAUAUUCAUCAACUCUAAAUAUGAAAUUUUUGGAGGGUCUCACUCUUUCUUGUAGUUGGGUAAUUGUUAAUAUCACUUGUAAGUUACAGUUAUACUUGUGUGUAAUAUUGUUGCAACUUUUAUAAAUAUUUGUUGUUCUCUCAGUACAGUCAAUAUUUUCAAAACUGUAGUAUGUAGGAUAUUAGUGAUAGCAUUCCUUUUUGUCUUGCAAAAAGCAAAUGUCAAAUCUGAAGGAUGUCAUCUUUUGUUAUAUUUUAUCAGCAGAUUCUAAAAUUUUAAGAUUUUUCUUUAAUGAAGGAUGUGAUAUUUUGUUAUGCUUAAUCAGAGACUGAUAUCUCAGCAACCUUACGUAUUAGUUAGUCAACAUUGUUUUUAUACAUGUGAACACAUAAAUGAUUUUGAUAUGUAAAUCUAACUUGCUUUCUUUAGUCUUACUCAGGUAAAUAAUGCAUAUAUUGGGGUAAUACUUUCCUCUCCUCCAUUCUCUAUCUUUCUUUCUCUAGCUUCAACCUACUGACUAUUGAUAUCAAAGGUACUCGAUGUAAUGGUGCUUAAUUGCGAUGCAGGUGCGAUAUUCAUUCCUCCAUAUGCACGGAGAAUAUCACAAAGAUCUGGUGUUUAUUUUUUUAUUUUUUUAUUGCAGGCACUAGAUUCAUUCUUCCAUAUGUUUAGAGAAUUUCCAGGGAACUCCUUUUCUUAUUCUAUAUCUGGGAGCUCCCAAAGUGCAGACCAGAAAAUUUGGACCUUAGAGUUAAAAGUGUAUCCUCAAACAUGUCUAUGUUCCUCAUCCCUUCUUGUGAAUAUUACUUAAUGCGGGUUUGUUUCCUACUUUACCUCUUUGCUUUGUCUUGUAGUAACUUGCAUAAUGCAUGCUUUAUUAUGAAAAACCCUGAUACCUACCUAUCAAAAAAAAAAAAAAAAAACCUGAUAAGUUAUAACCAGAAUUUGGCCUUUGUUCUCCGUCCUGGCAUAGGAGUGUAUCUUAUACUUUGUUGCAUGUUAUAUCCAAAUCCCUCAUCUAAGGAGCCUAUUCUUUUAGGAUAUGAAUGUGAGUGCGAUGAUGAAUGUGAAACAAUGGGUAAUACUUUAGUUCCUUCUCCUUGUGUGGUGCUUUCACAUUGUCAACUACCUUGUUGCUUGAUAAGAGAUGAGGAUGGACUAUGAGAGACAUCCAAUAAUGUUGUUACUCAUCCUAGUCCAACUCAAGAAGUGGACAAUUGCCUAUAUAAUAGGUUAGAUGAUAGUGAGAUUGUGAAUAAAUUAAUUUUAUGCUUUGAGCUUAAUUAGGGAAAAAAGAUGUCAAGUCCUCAUAUUUUCUGGCGUUUAAGUUGAACUUGAAAAGAAAUUGGUGUAAGGUUUAUGUUGAGAGUAUGGAUGUUUUAUCUAUUUGUUUUUGUUAUUUUCAGUGGGGGGUGUUGUUGUAAUUACAUCUUUUUAAUAUAAAUUGAUAGAAUAAAAGGGAGAAACCUACUCUCUCUUCCUAUUCUGUACAUGGAAUUAGCAGCCAGUACCUUUAUGGGCAACAUGGAAGGGGUCUCCUUUAAACAUCCAGCCAUAUUUUUAUUGCUAUAUUCCGUAAGCCUUUUCUUUGCAAUAUCAUCAAGUUCUUCCAGUUCUUGUUUUGGACCUUUUGCUUGGGGCCCCAUUUUAUGGAUAUCCACACCUAGCCCCUUGUGAUAGAGAUCAACUCCUACCCAUAUGGUGUCUGCUGCCUUCCUGAUGUUGAUCAGUUCUUUGGCAUCAAGGUUAUGGUUUUUGAGCCUGACAGAACUUAGGCCUUCAUUUACGCUCCGCAUAAAAUGUUUGAUUGGACAUUUGCCAAUGUUAGGGAGCGCGACUGCACUGGUUGUUGGUGUCACAACAGGAUAAGCCCAACAAUUAAGAGGCCCUUCAUAAUCUAGAGAAGGAACUUUAUCACUGUCAAAUGUUUCUACUCCUUUGAAUCCUUGUGAAGGCAUAUGUUUCUCCAGCAGUUUCACGAGAUAAUUUUUGCUGAGUUUUUUUUCGCAUAUGUAUCCAACAAUCAGUAGCAUUACAAUUGCUCUCUGUGAUCAGCUCAACCAGAUCUUCCUCUCCUUCAAGAUACAAAACAAAAGGGCUUAAAUCCAGCUUCAGAUUGGGCUGCAACUCUGACCCAGAUUCAUUAUUGGAAAUGCUGCUAUUCUGUUUAAGCUUCCUUCUUGAUUCCUUGCACCAGAAGGAGAAUUCCAACAACCGGCGUGCAAAGAAUAUGGAAAUGAACCUCACUGCUUUACUCACCAACACUAUGCCUGUCUGCAUCCUGAUACAGAAGUCUGCAAGUAGGUUUCUUGUGUCAUGCCAAGUUUCCUACAGAGCCAACUAUGGAUUGGUAAACUUAUUGGGCACUCUCUCCACUCUACCUUCCUCUGGAUCCAGUAUUUCUUUACCUUGAACUCAUCUUUGAAGCUUUUUUUCCCUUUCUUUGGACAUCUAAAACUUAUGUCAAUGAAUCAUCUAAAAAUGCUGGGCCAAGAGUACCCACUCCCACUCCCACUGCAAUAGUCUGACCAAUGAGAAUUGAAGUGCCUGAAAUCAGACUCGCCACUGCAAAAUUUGAAGGACCAGGGCAUCAGCUAAGAUCGAAGCCAUGCUUCCACACAUUGUAGCACUCAGGCGACUUAGUGCCCCAGAAGUACAUGUCACUGAGCGCCCUAUCACAAAUUGGGGGCAGCAGGUAUGAGCCAUGGUCCAAUAUUUCAUUGGGUCUUCUCAGAGUUUCUGAAACACAGAUAUGUCUGUUUCGUUGGAGCUUUAUACAGCUAUUUCAUAUUUUUUGCGGUACUUAAAUUCAAAAUAAUGCUUUGUAGUUGGAAUCCCGCUAGUUCCCAUUGGGAUGCAGAUGUUUGAGUUUAAGACCAAAAUAAUUUAUUUGUAAAAAAAAAAAAGGUAGAAUAAUACCCAUUUCAAAAUAUUUGUCAAAGUAAUAUUUUUUAUCCACGUAAGCAUCCACAUGGAUUUUUAUUCUUUAAGUGUAAAAAACCACCGUUGAUGACUGUGGUUUUAAAACUUACAAAAAUAUCCUUAAAACUACAAUUACAAAUUGUGGUUUUACAAUUUCUCUUAGAACCAUAGUUAGUAACUGUGGUUUUAAAAGUUACAGAAAUAUCCUUAAAACCACAAUUACAAACUGUGGUUUUACAAUUUCCCUUAAAACCACAGUUCUAUGGUUUUACAAUUAUUUUUAAUCCGCAUCUAUUUUAAUGGUGUUGUAAUUUUAAUAUUAUUUUUAAAAUUUUUUUUUUAUCAAAAUAACCAUAAAACCAUAGUUAGUAACUGUGGUUUUACAAUUAUUUUCAAUCCACGUCUAUUUUAAUGGUGUUGUAAUUUUAAUAUUAUUUUUAAAAUAUUUUUUUAUCAAAAUAACCAUAAAACCACAAUUAGUAACUGUGGUUUUACAAUUAUUUUUAAUCAACGUCUAUUUUAAUGGUGUUGUAAUUUUAAUAUUAUUUUUAAAAUAUUUUUUUAUCAAAAUAACCAUAAAACCACAGUUAGUAACUGUGGUUUUAAAAAUGUUAUAAAAACCACAGUUACAAAUGGUGGUUUUAUAAUUUUCUUUAAAACCACAGUUACGGACUGUGGUUUUACAAUUUUCACAAAUAUUUUUAAGGGGAACUCAUAUGUAAAAAAGUAUGGGAUUUUAGAACUUUGGUUUUCACAAAUUUUUUUGUUAUGAUUGUUUUUAAUAUAUAUAUAUAUAUAUAUAUAUAUAUUAUCUUUAUUUUUUCAUAUUUUCCUUGAAAUUUUGAGAAAAUAAUUUGGUCUACAUGCAUUCCCAUAAAAAUUUAUAUAUUUAUGGUAAAUAAAAUAUUUAUUUGUUUUACGAAUAUUUUCACAUAUGAACUAAAGAAAAUUAUUUAUUCAUAUUAUUUUUAAAUUUUAAAAUAACUAAAGAAAUUGUUUAUAUUAUUUUAAAAUUUUAUAUUUUCAUAUGAAAAUUAAUGCCAAUGAUUAUGAUUUUAGGUUAUUUCUUAUAAGUAUGAUUUGAACUUAUGUCUUAGUUAAAAUGUAUAAUUUUUUAAUUAUAUGAAAGAAAAAUAGGUAAUGGUUAUAAUAAUUUAUUUAGUUAGAAUUUCUUUCAUUUAGACUUUAGGAUGCAUUUGAGUUUUAUUUGUUUAAAUUAUCAAGGAAACAGGUGAAUAACAUAACAUUACUAAUUUGAAUUAACACUUUAUAUAACCUUAAAUGUAUAAACCAAAGUAUUAUAGUUCUACAAACAUGAAAAAAUAUCUCAAUGUGUCCCACAUGAUGGAAUCUUUCUCUUUCGUUGUGAACAUCUACGGUAGAUGGCCAUAUUUGUUGUAUCCAUCUGUGCUAUCUGAAAAGUCUCCAUCUUUAUAGACUGUGACACGUCAUCUACAUGAGCUAUCGAGUUAGAUGGAACUGAUGGAGGUAGAACUCGACGUACACGUGGAGCUUGAUGUCCUCUAGGUACCCGUACAUGUAAUCGCGUGGCAUGAGCUAUCCCCUGAAGAAAAGGUAGAGGUGUAAUGGACUCUGUAACAGGUGGAGGUGCAAUAGACUCUGUAACAAGUGGGGGUGCAAUAAACUCUGUAAUAGGUGCGGGUGCAUCCAAUGAUAUAGAUGGUUGAAUAGGGGUAAGGGUAGAUGGUAUGGUAGUCUUGGGUCGAGAUGAAUGGGCUGGUAUGGAUACAUCAGGGGGAGAGAGUGGCAACUCUAAUGACGCAGAUGGCUGAAAUAGAGGAAAGGUAGAUGUGACUGGUGGAUGUGAGGGUUGUACCAAAGUAGAUGCCAAAGGUACAUGUCGGUGACCAGCUUGACGUCCCCCGACCUCUAAUGGGUGGUACCCUAACAGGCGUAAUCAAUGAUGGUGGUCUAAUGGAUGGCUCAUGUGUCGAGUGUACGCGAUGGUCCUCUCCUAUAGCAUGUAAAACUUCAAUAGCAAUUCGGUGAGUUUCCUCCAAAUCAUUUGAAAUAGCCAUUUGCAAUACGACGGUGAUCUGUAUAAGAAAAUGAAACAUGAGGCAUUUGUACAUAAUUUAAGUUUAACAUUCAUUAAAAAAUGGUUUUGUAUCUCAAAUGUUCUCACCAAUAACUCAGUGGCAGAAGCUAUACUAUGGAACCUCAUAUGAUCUCUAUGGCAAACAGGUGCGGUCAGACGUCGCGUGAUACGUCCAUACCACUGCAUAUAUGGAUCAUAAAAAGCCAUGAUAGUAAUCGCAAGUGGUGCUGUCGCAAUACGCUUAGAAUGAGUAGCCCAAAUAGAAAUAUACUAAGCAUGGAAUGUGACCCAAUCAUACUGAUGUCGUCCUCGCCUAUCCACUAAAUGUAGCUCCAUAACUAUCAAACAAGGUGGAGGUAUCCCUUGUUGCAUACGAAAUUGGCGUAAAACUCGCUCUGGUCUAUGCCACUCGAUAAUAUCAAAGCAAAUUAGAGGCGACAUAGUUCGCCAAAUUUCUUCAUCAACCUAACAUAUAGCCGGAAGAUGUGCAAUCAAAUCUGUUGUAUAUGGUUCCCAUAAUACCUGUAAUUUAAAAAAAAAAAAAUUAGUCACAUUGGUGGAAAAUAUUGCAAAGGUAAUCUUACGCAUCUACACUUUACCUGAUCCUGUGUCUGGGCAUCCAAUUGAUCUUGAUAGAAUGUCAACACAUGUGGUGAUGGGUUAUGAGACCAAGAUAGGGGUACUCUCCACCUGUGGCCUAAUGGAUCGACUGGGAGUGCCUCAUUUGGCAAUAGAUGAUCAUGUAAACCAUCAACUACAUCAUCAUGUACAUGUGGGACUACUAUAAGCAUUGGAGGACAACCGAAAUCAGGUCGACCCACAUGAAGUCUCUCCCAU